RNAcentral lists this long non-coding RNA (77694 nucleotides) under Musa acuminata (dwarf banana). RNAcentral's name for it is "long non-coding RNA (MACU_LNC006302)". The stretch from base 64785 to 64854 matches the Rfam family "tRNA". The record is from RNAcentral. Lineage: Eukaryota; Viridiplantae; Streptophyta; Magnoliopsida; Zingiberales; Musaceae.
ACGCGUUUCCUUGGACGCACAUCGUUUCUACUACACUAGCGUGUUCCUCGUUCUUCCUCCUCAUCUCCUCUAUAUAUUGCUUUCUUCCGAAACUGUUGGCACAGACAUGGAUUUGAGAGCUCCGUUCGUACCUCAAGCCGCCGGAGAGGAGAAGAAAAGCAGCGCGGCGGCGACGAUGCUUCUGGCUCCGGGUGCAAAAGUGAGUCAGCCUAUCGAUCCUUCCGCUUGGAACGACGAGGAGAGGAUGAAGAAGGAGAUAGUGGCUUGGGCGAAGGCGGUGGCCUCCAUGGCGAUCGGUUCGCUGCAGUGCUCACAGCUGGAGGAUCUUUCGACGGCGUAAUCCGGUCGUCUGGCUCGUAUGAACAUGUCGUCCUUUUUCUUGUGUGCCACUGCAGAGCUCUCCCACUGUUACCAGUUUUUUCCUUGCAGGGGUGCAUUAUUAUUCUUGUAUUGGGUAUAUUUUUACUUGAGAAGCACAUUACUGUAUUUUUUUUCUCCUUAUCCAAAAAUUAAUAAUUUGGAAUAAGUAUUUUUAACAUAUUUUUUUCUUAAAAAUAUCUUAUUAUAAUGAUGAUCAUAAUGGAAGAAGGGCUAAAAUUGGCCGAGGAAUACUGAGUGCCUUCUUAUUAUUCUAGGGUUUAUCACGACAACUGGUUUUGUGUGGAUUUAUGGGGUUUUAUUUUUGUAUUUACUUAAAUCAGGUGAUGGAUGAGAGAGACAAGAAGAUCCAAGAAUACUUAUCUUGAUUUGACAUGAGAUCUUCCCGGUUGGAGACAUUGUCGUUGACCUAAACUCCAAAUCCAACUCGACAUGACAAAUGACAACCAAAAGGAUAAUUAUUUAUGCAAGCAAGCCAAAUUACGCCUGUCAAGGUCUAUUUUAAGUUCAAAUGGAAUAAUUAUCCAUUGAUUUGAUGGUCUUCAGUCAUCAUCAUCUUAAGUUAAUAAUUAUAGAUCCAAUCUUUUAUCAUUGGAAGCUUUUAAGUAGAUCAAUCCCCUCCUCAGACGUAUACUAACACAAGUGACUCUUUUGUUUAUUUAAAAUAAUAAUUAAAAAUUGAUUUAGUGCAUUUAUUUAUUUGGUAAUAGCACAUGAGUGUUGAUAUUGCAAGUACAUAAACAUGACUACAACAUCGAGAGAUUCUUUUAUCUCGAUCAAGCCAACAUAUAAUUAAUCUGUGAUUAUUCUUCGAUCAUAAGAACAACAAAAGUCAUAAUGAAGAUUAGAGAACAAUGCAACUACCUUAUAGAAUAUAAAGUGCAUGGACAUAGAAUAUGCUUAAAAACAUAUGAUAAAUGACUUUCUUAUCAACUCCAUCUUAUUAAGGUUGCACCAAAAAUAUAAAAAGAGAAAUGUUGUACAACUAAUUAUUAUAAGUAAAAUUAGAUAGGAAAAGGUAGACCUUAAACAUCAUAUAUACAGAUACUCUACCCACACGCUUGUUCUUUGCAUCUUGUACUGUUUUACAAGCUUUCAGAGUGGAAGUGAUGCCCUACGACUUCCAGAGCCUUGUAAUGCAUAAGUUUAGCUCAGGUCAAGAUGAAAGAUUCUGGAGAAUGCACCAAAAUGCGUUCUGUCUCCUUGUCGUUGCCCGGAGAUGACGAAGCAUCUGAAAAUUGAAGUAAAACACAAUGUUUGCCACAUCAACAAGAACAAAUCGAUGAAUAAUAUAAAAUUUGCAUCUUCUCUUUUUCUAAGCUUCAAAAGAAUUAAGUCUUUGUAAUCUUCCACAUUAGAUCAUGUGCCUACGGCAAGCUUUUACUUUGAUGCCUUCUUCGACCAUGUCACAAACAAGUUAAUCAAGCAAAUAUGUACCUAGGUCUGUCAUCUCUAUAGGCAACCUGUUUGAUCGCUAAAAUGGACUGCCCACCAAAAACCAGAUACAAGAGGGUUGGUAUGUGAUCACCUAAAUUACAAGAGGAACAGUUGGGAGGAUUCGUCUGCUCACCAUCCCUACACAAGUCUCUGUGUCAAACAGGCAGGUUAGGAUACGAAUUUUUAUUUUCAAUACCACCAAAUGCACGAAUGCUUACACAGUUGAUGCUACUGAACUACAACAAGCUUACCCCAAGUCUCCUCGCCCUAAGGUUUACAACCUGAUAUUUUUUACUCCAAUUUACACGAUAGAUAAUUAAUAAUGAUACUUUAUCAGAACAAAUCAAAUUAAGAGACUUUGCAUAAAUUUCAAUUAUUUUAUUUUUCCCAAAUUUGCUGCCUAUUGACAGCUUUCUCCAGCUAAAGCACCACAGCAUUAAAAAGAAUAUAAAACACAUAGAAGGCAAUGUAAAUUAAUAUCAAGUAUUUGAAUGGUUAUAGAACUUCUUAUACCUUAAAUAUCAAUAAUGCCUAUUGGGUGGAGUAGCUUCUUUCAUGAACCAUUAAAGGAGUCACUUGAGGAACCAAGUACUUUCUGCUUUGGGACCCGAACAAGCCUAAUGGUCUCUGCUGCAGUGAAAAUCUCAUCUCUCUCUAUUUGUUUUAACUCAACUAGUACAGGCUUGACCCUUCUCCAGUAGUCCACUAUCUCAGAAUCAGAUAAUAUAAUAGUUAAAGAUAUUAAGCUGGACAGGAAGUUGCAAUACCAGUCUUUAAUUUCCUUUCUAUAUCAGAAAGGAAAGAACACCCAUUUCAUUUUCUUACACUUGCUACAUAAACCUCUCUUACACAUCAAUACUCUAUAGCACAAGAAACUGAUGUAAGUCACAGGGAAAGGACUGGCCACAGAUAAUCUGUGAGCCAAAAGAUGCCCUAUAUUAAAUAAAAUAUAAGAAUCUUUUUUGCCGUUUGCAUAUUACAACAUGCAAAAUAAGGUUAAUUCAAAGAAGAAAUCAUAUAUUCAUAGUGGUAGAUGGUAAGUAAUGACAAUAGAUACCAAGUUUUGCAAAUUUAUGUAAGAAAGGUAAGAAAACAGAAAUAUUAACAGAAGAAAGCAAGAAAUAAUAUAGAUAUGAGAAACAUAAAGGUUCAGAGCAAAAAGGACAAAAGGCAAAGACAAUUUAUUUGCACCAGAAAACAGAAACUGUACAGACAGACUUGUGAGUCAUUUUUGAGAAUCUAUUGUUAGAAAAGUGAAAGACAUAAAAAGAGAGAUGGCCCAGAGUUACGAAUGAAUGGACGUAGAAAUAAGACCAGUGCUCGUGACUGUACAAGACCCAAUUUGAACUUCGACCCAGUUCAAUCCAACUAAGAUCCAGACAACUACAGGAAAUGACUUCAAGGACUUGCAGGAUCUUGAGGUACAUAUUUCCAGUCCAUAGAUAAGGACUAAUGACAGAUGCAACUUCACAAAAAGUCCUAUACGCAUGCAGAAUGGAAGACUAGGAAUUACUUAUUGCCACAACUAAAAAAAAAAAGUCUAACCUGCAAAAGCCUGGCCAAACCCUGGAGGAAAAUCCUCUACUGCAUCAGAAUUUUCACUUCAGCCCAAGAGGUAAUCCAUCUGCCUAUGUUCUGGAUAUUUUCACUACUACAUGGUGUAAUACCCUAUUAAAAAGAUCUGGAUAUUUUUCGCUUUAACAACCAAUACCACUCUACAAAAAACACAACUGGCUACUAAAUAUGAGAUAUAGUUGGAUCCAUCCAUCCUAUAAAGUGAAGUACAUCCAAUUUUUCUAUUGCCUUGAAAUUCCCAAUUUUCUUGGUAUAUUUUUCAUAUAUAUAGUUUGCUUUCAUUUCUAUUAUUCUCAGUCACUACUGCACAUAAUAUGUCAUUGUUAGUUUUGCCAUUCCUGUCAUUGUUGAAAAUCAUUAUCUAUCAUUUCAUCAGUUACCUUAUCAUUUCUUUGGAUAAAAGGCACCAUCCUUUUUUGAGCUGUCGUAUGCUUCCCCAUGACCUUAAACCUUUAAACAAUAAAUUUGAACCUUAUAGUAUUACCUAUUAUUGAAUCUCCCUUCAGAUGAAACAAAGGCAAGCAUUCAUCUAGAUGAUUUGAUAGCAAUCAAUAGUCAAUGUUAAAAAACAACAAAGGCAAAGCCAUCCAUGAAAAUAAACCUAAUGAAAUUUUGACAGAAUUCAGUGCAAUCAUCCAAGUGAUUAUUUAAUUAAUGAUCUUUAUCCUUCUACAGAGAAAGUGAAAAAAGUUCAAGAUAUGCUCUAAAAGAAAAGAAAGAAAUUAUAAAGAGCAUACAUCAUGUCUAACAUAAAUAUCAUACAAGCUAUUAUACUAGCUCAAUAACUGACAUAAAGGAAGCUUUCUUAACGUGGCAAAAAAUUGUUAAAUACAAGUUAUUUGUAGUAAGGGCCAUUUUGGGGUAUCAGAUUUUUUCACUCAUCCGGCGAACAAUAAAUAUCAUUUGUGACGAUCUAAUUAUACCUAUCAGCAACCGAAGUAGGGGAACUCUUUGUAUUCCCAAAAUGCUCAAGUCCAAUUCAUCAAGUGACGCUUAUAAGAAACUGCCCAUUCUCCUAUAGUCUCUGAUAUAGGGCAAUUUCUGAUAUCAUACAUCCAAUCCAACAAAUAUAUCUUCCGGAACGAAUAUCACAUUUCUUUGUGAUUCAUAUUUUAGAGAUAAAAUUUUUAGAAUCAACAAGAAGCAAUAAUGUAGCAAAAACAAUGUAAAUAAAACAAAGGCAAGGAACAAGGAAGUUAAGCAACCAGGAAGAACUAUAGAAGAUGCAAAUAUAAAGAUGAAGACACACCUUUGAUGUAUUUCACACAGAGAUGCUAGCGCAUCCUUCCACUUCGACGCUCAAUCUCAUCAAAAUCCUCCAUUAUGCCCUUAAAAAAUUCAGAAUCAAAACCCUCGCCAUCCUUCUCUGCUCCUCCAAUUCCUUCCUCUUCUUCUUCGUCUACUUCCAAAAUCACACCUUUCUUCUUCACUUCCUCCUCCGCACCAACUUCAACCGCUGGCAUGUGCCCCUCGAACAGAGUGAUAUGCCCAAAAAGCUUAUCCUUCCUCGAGAAGCUUGUCCCACACGAGCACCGCCACCGGGUCAUUCCGCAAUGCUUGAGGUGGCUCCUAAGGUCAGCCACCACCGAGAAGUUCUUCUUAUUGCACCGGUGGCAAGAAUACAUCUUGGGGCAGUGGCUCCUCUUGAAGUGGUUCUUCACGCACGCCACCGACUUGAGUGGUCGGAACUUCUUGUGCGCCCGGUUCCUGUUGCACCCGGGAUACGGGCAAGAGAACCUAACUCUUCUCCCGGGUACCGCCUCCCCGCCAUCCGACGGGCGAACUUCCCGGUCCGGCUUCGAGAGGGCUUCCAGGGUCUUGAACCGGUCGCCGUGAGCUCUCAUGUGCAUCCGGAGGUUCGCGUCACGCUUGAAACCCUUGCCGCAGAUCUCGCAGAGGUGGACGUGUUCCGCCAGAAGCUCUGCAGCAUCGAUCUCCACUAUGUCGUCCUCCUCCCCGAUCGCCGCCGCCGGAUCCGAGGUCGGCGGCUCGGAUCCGUUUCCGAAUUGGAUGGACGGCGGACUACCGGAUCUGGUCUCGGCGAAGCGAGGGGUCACUGCAUCUCGAGAGGUGGGACCACCAGCGGCAGCGAAGGAGGGGGAGGGAUUAAGCGGUUGGGAGGAGGCGAGGAGAGCGGCGCCGUUGAGGAUGAUCCCCUGGACGGCCGAGGCGAUAUGGGAGGAGACCAUCUGUAGCUGGUCAUCGCCGAUGACGGUGCGACUGUCUAUGGCAUCAGAGAGGAAGCGGCGGAGGGAGUCCAUCUUCUGGCCGAGGGCGGAGAGGUUGAGGAGGGGUAGGAAGGGGUCGUGGCUCGCCAAGGGCGCGCCCCCGGGGUCACCGCCGCCACCGCCGAGGGGCAAGAACGGCUCCUGGCCAGGGUUCCGACCGCCGGAGCCAUUCAUCUUGAGAGGGGCGGACGGUAGUGGUGGAGAGGAAAAGGGCCUCAGCUUUGUUGACGGGGAAGGAGUUCCAUGUCGUGUCGACCUUUGUAGUCGCUAAAAGCGGAUUAGCGGAAAUGUGUCUUACGGUCUUUAGUCGACAAACGUGCGGAGCCCACGUUGAAGCCACACCUUUAUGGCAGGUAGCUGAAUGGGUAGACUGUAGAAAGGUCCUUAAGAAGCUUCUUUUAGAAAAAGCUCAGCUAACCUGUGUUGGUCGAGCCACCAAAAAUACCAAUGGCUGAUUCCAAUGGGUCAAGGAGUGGGUCCCCUUGGCAUUAAACAACCUAUGGGAAUGAGCUGCUUCCGUAAUAUUGCAAACUCCACAAGACUAGGGAUAUUAAUUGAUUAGCAUAAUGAUAUUGAAAUUUAAAUUAAAAUUAAAAUUUUAAAACUAUAAAUUUAGUGAUAAUCAUGAAUAAUAGAGGAUAAUAUUUGAAUGGCUCCAUAUUAAUAUUUGAAUGUUCAACAAAAUAUUAUUAGAAAAAUUAAAACAAUUCGUAUUAAUAUUUUCGGAUGCACUAAAAAUAUCGUAUGAACGUUGUUUUAAGAAAAUAUUGUCAUCAGUCAUUGUGAUUCCUUCCUAAGAUUAUUUUCUCGUUAUCAAUCUCUUCUUAUUAUUGUGUGUCUCUUAUUCAAGUAAAAUUAUUCUAAUUAUCGUGCUAUAUGUGUUUUAUAGCAUUCUAUAUAUGAUAUUAUUUUUAUCCUAUUUUAUGUGAUUAAAUUUUUUUCUAUUUGUUAAAGAUUUUUUAUUUAUUCACUAAUUUUGAUAUUUUAGAUUUUAACUACAUAAAAUUUUAAAUUAUUUAUAUGUUUCAAAAUAUUUUUAGUCGACAUAACAGUUCAACCAAUGAUGGAAGGCUUAGCUGAAUCACUUGUGAGUAAUAUCAAUAACUAUAUUUGCUCAUCCACCUCAAAGAACACAAACAUCUCCACAAACCAGUAAACUGACAGUUUGUUUGAUAGGAUGUCAUAAAUAACAUUUCUGUCUCGAAACAUUGUGAUACAAAUCUUGAAAUGAAUUUAUACGAAAGUAACAUCACAAGAACACAGCCUAUACAAGAUUAAUGGUGAAGCUCACCGUUACACUACGGUACAUGUACCACAAAUAGUAGAAGAUUGAAAUUAACUAGUUAUUUUGACUCAAAAACACCCUUAAUUCGCAUGCGAAGGGAAAAGAGUCAAAGGAGACGAAACACAGACUCCUAAUAAUAGCAAAUUAUCAUCAGUCAUGCUUCCAGUUUGACUGCUGCUUCAUGUUCAGAUGGCAGACCUCCUAUUUGUCUACACACAACUAUAUGUAGUGGAAGAAUCGCACUCUGUAUUCAUAGACGUCCAAAAAGCCAAAAAAACAAAGAGUGCAGGAAAAAGUUGUACCUUAAGCUCCUGCCACCCACGUACAUUUCUAUUUUAUUCUUGGAACAAACGGACAGUGCUUUUCCACCAUCCACUGUACAUUGCAUCCACCCAAACCAUCACAUCCUCUCACUAGCUCGCUCACCUCACAAAAUCCCAAGAGCUUCCGAUUGUGUUACAUGGAGUAAAAAUUGGAAAGAGCUAAUACAGGUAGAAAGGCCAGAAGGAAAUGUAAGCAAAGGGUUUUUUUUAGCUCUUUCCACCAAGUCUCUCGUAGAACAAGAUGUACCCAUGAUCUGUGUUGCCUGAAAACUCCUGAGAGGAACCAAAGAAUGUCUGCACAGUUGAUUCAUCGAUCAUCUCCACAUUUUCGUCAUCAAAUAACAGCCAGUGGUUGUGGCUUUUGACAAGGCUAACGUAGUGACCAUGGUUGGGACCGCUCCCCACGUGGACCACAACUGCAAAGAGAGAGUACUCGGAGUCCGCAUCUUCGACCGUGUUAGUAAGUUUCAGCUCCAUGGGAAACACCACACGGUACGAUAAUUUCUUGUACCGACCAAGCUGCUCAAUGUAUUUGAACCGUUUGAGGUGGAUCACAAGAAUAUGUGGCGGCUUCUUGAUCUUCAUUCUCUUCUGUGCUUCCUGCAAACUGCAGAGUGAAACAGAACUCCAUGCUUCAGAAACAGUUAGUUAGCAAUGGAUGAUCCAACACAAAAGUGGCAAGAAAGAUUUUUCAAGGGAAACACAAUAUGCUAACGCUUUAUUCAACACUUUAUAUAAUUGAAUCACCUUCCCAUGACCAUAGCACUUACUAUUAAUCUAGACCUAUAUCGUUCUCCAAGUUGUUGAACAAGCAUUUAGAUAAUUGCACUCGUGAAGUAAAGUUCAAGCAUUCUAGUUAAAAGCUAAAACUUUCAGAAACGAUGCAACUAGCUAAAGCAUGUGAGUCUGAAUGCACAUGGUUAUAUGAAUCUCACAAGCAACGACAAAAAAGAUUUUACUAGGCAACAAGAUUAUGAACCACAACAAAGAAACCAGUGAAGCACCUGCAGCACUUAUCACAGAAGAACUUGUCCUCAGCAUUUAAGGUCUCUGUUGAACUGAAGUUUUUGAGGCAGCUUGUUAUAGAACUGUUCUGCUCAAUAUCAAGGCUCAAGUCAAGAAAUGUUUCAUCCCUUGCAGUAACAGUUUCACAACGUAAGCAUCUUGUUUCAUUGGUCAGUAUGCCCUGUCGCAAGAAAUGUAAGCUUACGUUGGUAUCAAGAAGCAUCACUUAUUUCGUGCUAUACAUGUCAUAUUGAACAGAAGAUGCACAACAAAUUAGGGUACUCGAUUCACCUGAAAGUUCUUGUGAACCCAUGUAACAAGUGGCUCCUUUUGCACACCAUUAGCCACAGGAUGGCUUGGUCCAUUGGCAAUCUUUUUAGAUGGUGACAAGGUUUCUGGGGAACUUUUUGCAGCAUCAGACUCUUUUUCCAGAAUAUCAACAAGCUCAUUCAGCAAGAAAUUCAAAAACUCAUGAGCAUCCUAGAGAAUCCAAAGAAAACAAACAAGAUUAGCUAGCAAAAUCACAAAAUUAGAAGAUGUAGAAAUAAGAGCUACAUGGAUGAUGAGAUACAACUUCAACAAAGUAUUUUACCUACAAAUGCCUUUCAGAUGAUAAAAUUUUUCAUCCACAGACUGAAAGAAAUCCCACAGACAAAAGUAACAGAAAAAAGAGGUCUGUCUCGACAAACUGAUUAAACAACAGAAACAUUUUGCAAAAUAACUAGGCUAAAGGAUGUAUAAUCAAAUUGCUGCGGUUCAUAGACUAUUCGUAAGCCUGAUUGGAGAAAUUUGAUGAGAAGAAAAACAAAUGGACAAUGAUCAACAAAUCUGCUUGACAACUGCAGUUUACUUUAAAUUUUGAAAUUCAUUUCAAAUGAAAUUGUUUUGACAAAGUAGAAGAUAGACCAGAGCAAAACAUUCAAUUUCGGUACUGGACCUGUGCCGGUCCAUGGCCAGACUGAUAUGGGUCCAGUCCAUUCCUGCGUACCAUAUGGCGAAAUAUGUAGGAACAUACCAUCGUACAGAGAAGGGGGAGGAGGAAGAGAGGAGGCAGCAGAGAAUGGUGCGGUAGAGACGAGGGGACAAGACGGAGAAAGAGAGGAGAUGGCAGUGGCAAUGGAAAGGAGGGGAAGCAACAGAGAUGAAGCUGUGGUGGUGUAAGAGGAUGAGGAGAGGAUAGUACUGAUCGGCAGAUGCAAGUGACGUCAUUAGCAUGUGGAGGUGGACGUGGGUGGCAGCAGAUGCAGGCUACAAUGGACACAGAGCGAAUAAUGCCAGACGAAUGGGAUUAGGUAUUAGGGUUUUUAGUUUAUAUUUGGGCCUGGACUGGGGAAUAUGCCCUGAAUCGCAUGUGGCCUGCUCGAAAUUGCCGUCCGCAUGCCGGUUCACACUCGGAGCAGUCAUUACUGGUUGGUGCACAUCGAACUGGGUGAAAUUGGUCUCGAGUGAAAAAUGUUCAUGCUGAGGUAGUUGAUUGGAUGUAUAGACCUAAUGCAACUAUGAUGUCCACAUAUUGCCUCUAUUAUUAACAAAUUUAUCAAGUUAACUUAAUUACCUGGUGCAUAUAACUACGGAAAUACUCAUUCUGUUUCUUCACUCUCUGCACAAAGCGUUUUGGAGCAAUAACACCAGUUUUUUUCUUUUGGGAGCUAAUCUGCACAAAAUACCAACCAAGAUAUAAGUACAACCAAUAUCAUAUGCAAGACUUGCACUAAUACAUACAUGAUAAAUUAUAGCAAUAAGACUCUCACAGUGACCAAAAUUAGGCUAUUCAAUAAUGAGGCAGAUAUUAUUUGUUUGGCAACAAACAUUAUCAUCACGAUCUACAUGCAAAUUUCAUUUGGCAAGGAAAUGGUCAAGUGGCAUAGGAACCAUUUGAACUUCAGAACAAGUUGUGAAGCUGAAACCUCCAUAUACUAGUAUCUGAUCCAACACAUUCCAAGAUCAGGCAAAAAGGUUUUCCUUAGGAUCCAAAAGAGCACUUCAUAAGACCAUCUUUUUCGGUCAACCUUUAUGAUCAAACACCUGCAAAAAUUUUCCUAUACUUGAAAGCAGUUUACGAUACUUAACAUGGCAACAACUCUGUCCAUUUAACCAAAUUUCUAUCUCAAACAUGCUUUGGAUUUACCCUCAAUGUUCAUAAAAUGGCCAUCAAGAAGAAAAUUUCCAAUUGGCAGGUGAGAACAAUGGCAACAAAAUCUAUGGGAAUAAUCUAGAAGAGUGAAAUUCUUUCAAAAUUACAGAAGAAUAAAGAAUCAUACUGUUCAAACUUAAUUCUAUGUCUUAUCUAUGUUCUCAUGGCAGAUCUCCUAUCUACUGGGUCAAUGCUCCAACUAAAACAUUAGUUUCAACACUCUUUAAUAAACAUUAAAAAGCUCCAGUAUAUAUGCUGAACUCAUAGAUCUCAUAUGCUUUCAGGUUUAUUCGACUACUUGAUAAAUAUCAGAGGCAAAAGACCAAAUAGAUAUUAAAAUUUGAUACCUCAUAAGUUCAUAAAGUUAUUUUGAACACCUUUAGUAAGGUACAUUACUCUAACUUCAUAUGGAACUACAUUGAAACCAAAGUAAGUUAGACUUAUAUGAAGUGAAGAUAGACAGUAUAGUCAACCAGAGUAAAGACAAAAGCCUACAAUAGCAAAUAGUAAAUGAUUUAUCUAUAAAAUCCUGUCUGCAGAGAAAUGGGAGAACUCACACAUUUUGUAGUAUAGUAUGAUAAAAUGAAUUUCAAUAACUACAAGUAGAUCAGCAUAGUUGUGCUAUUCAACUAAAAUAUUAGCCUUCAUAAAACUAAUAGUAACAAAAGGAUGAUCCAAUCAAGGUUUGUUAAACUCGUGAUUUGGGCAAUAGCAUGGAGCGACCUUACAGCCCAGAUCUUACUUCUCACACCAUCUUGUGGUAUAGUAUGAUAAAAUAAUUUUAAAUCAUUUAAUCCCUUUUAUUGUUUCAUUCUUUCCUCUUUUUUCCAAAUCUCUUCUUCAUAAUCCUGUAGUGCAUGUUUAUCUUGUGCUCUUAUUGUAGCCAUUGUAAAAGUUUAUCUUUCCCUUGUUGCAUGAGAUGACCAAUGUAAAAGUUUAUUGUAGUGUCCUUUCGAAUACAUAUGCAGUCAUUCUAGUAUCUGAACUCAUACAUGAUUCAUUGUGACUCCUUAUGAAGAAAAAAAAGGAUAUUAAAUCUAUCUAAAUGUCUCUUUGUGAAUUACAUACUGUGUAAACAACUGAACUGCAUCCUUUAUUAUUUAUUUCUUUUUUAAUUAAAAAUAUCUUUCAAUUACUUUCAAUUGUUUUGUCAAAAUGUCUAAGAGAAAAAAUAUUAAAAUCAAUCAGAUAUUGGAUAGGAGUAUGAUAUAAAAUUUAAAAACAAUCUGAGGAAAAUAAAAUGCAAGUUUUGACGAAUGAUGGUAUCCAUAGUUUUAAAAAUAAUCCAGCAUGUAAAGCAUAUAAGAGUGUCCAAUGAUGUCAGAAAACAAAUAAUACGACUGUUGGAAAACUUAUGACACAAAAAAGAAAAAAAUCAUGAAAUUGAGGAGGAUAAAGGAUAAGAUAAAAUUAUUUCAAAACGAAAAGAAAAGAAUAUUAUGGACAAAAAAAUGGCUAGUUCUCAUCUGAACAACACUCAAACAAAUAUUACUCAAUUGUUUAAGAGAUAUUUGAUAGAUGAGACAUGUCAACAUAACCUUCGCUAGUUCUCAUCUGAAUUAUUUUCAAAUGGUAUACUAUAUUCCUAUCCCAUAUCUGAUUGAUUUUUAUUUGUAUUUUUUCUCUUAAAACCAAACAUUUUGACAAAGCAAUCAAAGAUAAGGGACAUACAACUUAAGAUUUUUUUUGAUAUAAGAAAUCUAAUAAUUAAUAAUUAAUAAUUAAUUGUAAAGUAAGCAGUUUUCAUUCAAACAAUAUGCAGUUCAGAAAAAGAUUUUAAGAAGAUAUAAUUUUGUUUAUAAAAAUACACUUGGAUUGCUAACAAUGAAUCAUGAGCUGAGGUACAAGAAAGACCACAAGAUAAGUACAUGAAAGAGCACUACAGUAGACUUUUAAAUUGAUCAUCUCAUGCAACAAAGGAAAAGAUAAACAUGCCACUAGAGCACUAUAUUAAACUUUACGUUGGCUAUCUAAUGAAACAAAGGGAAGAACAAAAUAGUAGAAGGGAAAAGAGGAGACAUGGGAGGAAGGCGAACGACUAUACAUGAGAGGAGAUGGGAGGAGAAGGGAGGAGAAGAAAGGAGAGAAGGGAAGAAAGGGAAGGAGAGCGGAGGGAGAGGAGAGAUGAAAACAAUACCUAUGGACUGUGGGAGAGGAAGUGAUGGACAGCGGCACCUCAAACAGCCAACAAGGUUGGCAGCAGCACGAGACCCUCUUGUGGCUAACAGCAACAACGACCAAUUAGGGUCUUGUCUCAUCACUCAUAUGUCACCCACAGCCUCGCACAUCACCUCAUCUUUGAGCAUUUGUUUUUUACUUUUAUAUAAAGCCCAUCGAGUUGAAUCGAUAAACUCAAUUCAACUCAUCCAAGUUGAUCGAUCUUUCCAAGUCAACUUGUGAGUUGGGCUGAUUCCAACACUCUAAAAUUUCAGCAACUGGCCAGACUCGACAUGCCUGACAUGGGCUGCUGUAAGAUCAAACGAUUUUGUGGCCCAGAUCAAGAUCACAAGGUUCACAACCUUGCCAGGUCACCUAAAUAACAUAGGAACAACCUUAUCUUGGAACCUAGAUUUGCCUCCAUAAAACUAAUGGUUGUGUUGAAAAAGAAUGGAUGUAUGACAUGAUUAAUUUUAAUAUCAAGAAAAAGCAGAUUUUACAAGUUAUAAGUUCAAUGUUUAAACAUCUAAUGGAUAUUACUUUACACAUAUAACACACAUAUUAUGCUAGGAAAAGCAAAAACUUAUUAACAAAUUUAGUAAAAAAAAUUGAAGACAAGAAUAUUGUUAGCCUGUGAAACUCUCAUCAAAGAAUACUGUAAUUUUGGCAUGAUAUUCAUGGCUUGUUGAUAAAAAUAUUGUUUACCUGAGUAAAUAGGUCUGCCAAACAUGUUAGAAGGUUUUCUUCAACAUCGCCCAGAUUCUUGUUAUUUGCAUAAUAGUCCAGUAACUGCUCCCGGAAAGGAAUACAAAAAUAUAGAGCCUGCAUAUGGGAUAAUUAAGAAGCAAAAAAUAAAUUAUAGUUAAAACAAAAAGAACAAAAAUAAUACAUAUUUAAUUUAGGCACUGCAUAAAACAAAACAAACAUUUUCAUCCAACAAAGUUCAUUUCAGUAAAACUCAUGCCCAAAUUCUUCAAACCAAAUGUAAAGCAUGAUGUGAUGAUGGUAAAAAUAGCUAUGCUAGAAGUGAACUUUGACAAAAUUUAGAAGGAAAUGUUGAAGGGAGAAAAUUCUUUACCAAAUAAAACAUUUAUCUUUUAAAGUAACAUAUCAAUCUCUUAUCUUUUAAAGUAACAUAUCAAUCUUCUUUUAUGUUAAGCUGAAAUGACCACUUUGUAUUAAUGUCAUCUAUGAACAUCCAAAAAGUCAAAAUAAUUGAAGAAAUUUCGCUUUUUACGUAGCCCAAUGGUAGCAAAAGAUCGACAUAGCCAACCCCAAAUAUAUUGGUGGUGGCGUACAAAUUGUUAGUGCCUAAAACUAGAAAUGAAGGAGAAAACUUUCACCAUAGUCAUCCAGGAAUCCUGAGUUAUUUAGCUAUCAAUCAAUUAAUUUAUUAAGAAGAGUAAAGAUGAAACUUUAGAGUCUAUGUUCUCGAGAUAAAAUAUAUUCACUAGCUAUGAAACAGGAUGUCAAAAAAAGUUCGUAAAACAGAGAUGAGAAUGCUAACAAGUGUAUCAAAUUUUACUGAAAAUAAAUCGAAUAACUGCAAUUGCAAAAUAAUUUAGGUAUAGUACUAAUAAAGCAUAAUAUACUACAAAACCAUCAAAGGAGCCAAUACUAAUAAAAAACAUCUUGAUAUACCUCCAGCAAGGAAAGGUGAGCAACAUAAAAUAAUGCUCUAAGAAAGGAAAAGAAAGAUCAAUUAAUGAAAAACAAUAAGAAUAACUAUUAUAAUCCUAAGUUCAACAUCUAAGUACAACUAAAGAGGAUCCAUAUAUCUUAUCCUGGAUGUUUGGAGCUAUGGAUUUUUUAUGAUAAUAUACCAUUGUGUCCCAAGCUUUAUCACCAUUUUUACUAAUAUAAGGUAAAUAUCAAAGUGCAUUUUUGCAGCUGACCACAGAUCACCUUUACUAGCUCUCUCAAGUCUCAUCCUUAUCUAAAUAAUCACUUUGGCACCAAAACUUAGAAGGUGAGGUCCUUUGGACCUUACACUUAGCCAAUCUCAGUCUGAUUGUGAAAUGUGAUACCACUAGAUUCUACUAAAUCUUUCUUUCCUGAAAUAAAAGUCACAUCUCAGAUUUUAAAAAAAUAAAUCAUCAUUUCAUUAUUCAUAAUUUAUAGAAAACUCUUCUUUUAUCUUUGAAUUCAAAUCCCUAUCUUUCCAAUACUAAAUAUUUUUUAAUUGAAAAAAGAACUGCAUCUUCUAAGUAGGGCCAUAAGUGAUAAAAAAAUCUCCUUCACCCAAGGAUCAGAUCUAUUACAAAAUAAUAGGUUACUCUAAAAACAAAUAUAGGAUAAAAAUACAUCAGCAACCACACAUACUGGUAAGAACUCCGAAAAAUCAUAAAAAUAAUCUUCAAUACUCGUGAAACAUCUAAUUCAAUCAACUAAUAAGCUCAAACCAAUAAAGGAUGAGGAAAUUGGAUUAUGUCGCAUAGUGCUAGCCUAGAUCGAACCAACCCACCUAAGCAUUAGACGGGUCACGUGCGUCGCACAUGCUUAUCCCAGGUAAUAGGUUGGGUUGAGGUACAACGAGUUAGAUAGAGGGGCGAUAAAAUAUCUAUUGUCGGUCGCAUAGCUAAGCAGGCCUAACUUCUAAACUUCACUCAUGGGUUAGGCUGAGCCUUGCCGCUAAAUCGGGCCAUGCUUGGCUCGUGGGUUGGGUUAUACCUAACCACAUGGAUUGGGUUAUAAUACUUGACCACAUGGACUGAGCCAUGCUUAGCCACAUGAGCUUAGUCAUGCUUGGUCAUAUGGGUUGCGUCAUGCCUGACUACAUGAGCUAGGUCAUGUCUGGUCAUAUGGGUUGAAUUAUACCUGACCACAUAGGCUGGGUGAUGUCAAGCCACAUGGUUUAGAUCGUACGUGGCCAUAAGGGUUGGGUCGUGUCUACUCACAUGGGCAGGAUCAUACCUGGUCACAUGAGCUAAGACAUGUUGGGCCACAUGGGCUAUGUCGUACUUGGCCAUAUGGGCUGAUUUUGACCAAUCAACUUAACUUAGGUUAGAUCCCAAUUUGACAUCUUUUAUUAAAUUAGAUUUAAUAUUCUUAGAAGUACUUUAAAAUAUUAUAAAAUAAGAAUUAACCUCAUAUCUAUUCUUUUUCAUGAAAUAACUAAUUUAAAUUCAUGAUUCCAAAUUUAAAACUAAUUAAAUCAUAGAAAUUUAUACAUAAUUCCUUGAAACAUAAAUAUAUCUAAUUAAAUAAAUUAGAACUAUUAUCAAUAUUAAAUUAACUACUUAUCAGAAAUAUGUCUAACCAUUAUCAAGUCAAGUGUUGUAGCUAUUCUCAUGCAGGACCAUUGUAUUUUACUUUUCCCUUGAAUAAUGUUUCUUAUUUUAGGGUGUCAUGAGUUGCAAAAUGGCAAUAUCUUUGAUGAUUACACAUUAUCUAUCAAGAUUGCCAAGUAAAGAAAAAAAGAAGUCAGACAAAAAAGGAAGGAUAUAAAUCUUAGACUUGAUGAACGAUAAGAUCUUAGAAAACCUACAAAAAUGUUAUUAUAGUGAAGAACCAAUAAAGAAAAGAGACUAUCAAAAAAAAUAUUUUAUUAAGAAAUAUUAUUUGUCAAAACAAAUAUGGAAAACUAUGUUCUUGGGAGAAGAAAGAUAAAAUGAUUAAUAUAUCACGAUUUGUGGGAUGUAACUCCUUUUAUUGUGUUCUUCCUUAAUUUUGUAAUUAUUUUUUUAUAUACUUCAAAACUAAGAAAAGGGGAAAAUAAAUUGUGCUUCGAAACAUCGAUUUGUGAAUGAAAGAAUAGCUUUCUUUUCCCCCACCCUAUAUUUAUGUAUAGGUCACAAUCUUUCCAUCAUCCAUGUCUAAGAUGAGUGGAGAUAUUAAACAUUCAUCCUAAAGAGUUGAUCCUUUAGUCAAAGUGAGUAUGGUAAUUAUUUUUUUCUUUUCUAUUAUCUCUUUUAUUUUUCAUCAUUAUCUUUCAUGAUUAUAAUGUUUUGCUUCUUCUCUCUUUCUCUUCCUUUAUUCUCAAAUAGAAAAUCUCUGCUCCUUAUGAACUUGUCCAAUAUCAUAUUCCUUUCAUCUGAUGUCUAUGCAUUUGCACUCAAGGUUUUUCAUCCUUUGAUAAAGUCAAUUCUGAGUUGAUGAUCAGACAACAAAACCUACACCUUGGUUUCUGUGCAAUCACAAGAAGGGCACAAAACAAAAAAGAAACAACAACAAAUGUCACAAUACAGAUUUAUGGUCCUAUCAGAUUCCUAGGGACUGCUAUAAUAAGAAAAAAAAUUGAACCCCUAACCAAUUUUGUUGGAGACCAUCUCAAUCUCUAUCUUACUAGUAUAGAUGUUCUUUUUAGAGAUUGUCAAUUAAAUUAUGGAUGAUCUCCUAACAAACAUGAAAAAAUAAUUUCUUAUACCAUUCAAGAAUAAGAUCAUGUAAUAAAGAAUGGGUUGAAGAUAGUAUGAGAGCACUACUAUCCUUACGAACAAAAUGGCAGUGACACUAACAAGCAAACCAUAAUUGAUAAGGAACUACUUAUACUUAUUAUAAUGGUCUAUUGCAUUUGAAAUAUUGUCCAAAUACUAUAGUUAAUUGAACAAUAGCACAUUAAUGAUCAAGAUUUGUAUCCCAAAGAUCCCAAUGUUUCAGCCAAUGGUCAGGCAGCUCUUCAAAUAUACCGAACACUAAAGAAGUAUCAUCAGUGUUUAGAAAGCCUAGUUAUUACUAUCAGUGACAAUUGAAGGGCUUCAUUAUACACGCACCAAAAGGAAAGACAAAAAUAAAGAUUAAAUAAUCUAGUUUGUCUAUAGUAAACGCAAAGAUAAAGCAGAACUAUAAUGGGAAAAUGAGACAGUAAUUAGAUUGAGACGUGUUCAGCUGACACAUAGUAUGGACUAUGGAGAAAAAAAGGUCAUCUAUGAUAAUUGUCAUGUAAAUUAAGUCAAAAAGCAUCACGAGAUGCACAUAUAGAAGAAAAGAUUGAUGAAACUGAUGACAUUGAACAUGAUGAUGAUUCUGAUGACAACGGAUGAUGAAGUUCUGUUAGAUAAUUAAACCAGUAUAUAACAACUUUUUCCUUCUUCAUCCUACCUCUCUCCCCUCCCAACCCCUUCCUUUUCCUUUUCUUUGGCUUCCUUCGUCCUCUUUUCUUUCUUCUCCUUCCUCUUUUUCCUCUUCCUUCUUCCUUCCGUCCUCUCCCUCCCCUAAUGGUUCAUGGUACAUUCCAGUGUACCAACACAUGGUAUGCAGGAACAAACCUGACCUGUACUAGUCCAGUCACGGACUACUGGCACAGGUCCGAUAACCAAAACUGCAAACCUUGCAUAUUCCCGAACAUAUUGCAAAUCAUACAUCCCAACUAUUUGGGUCAAUCAUGGAGAAAAAAGGGUCAAACAUAUGGAUCUUUCCACCAUGUAACUUUGCUGAGGUCCUAAGGUUAAUAUCACUAGCCAAUUUAAAAGCCAUUAAUCCAUCAAUCAUGGAGAAAAAAGGGUCAAACAUAUGGAUCUUACAAGCUCCUCUCUCUCUACUCUGCACCAGUCAUCAUUAAUCCAAAUUAUCUCACUUCUAAGGUCCCUCAAUGGACGUCUCCGAACAAACCUUAGACAAAUUUUACUCAUUUUAUCAUCAAUCUAAAUACUCUUAAUUGUUCACAAAAAUGCAAAUUUUGUAGUUUAUCUUUAUAGUAACCACCACGCAACGAAGUGGACACCUCAUCUAAAUAGGAUUAACUUUUAGGUAUGUUGUUUUCUUACUGCCCAAAAUUUUGAACUCAAAUAAACAGGGCUGGCAAAUACUAUUCAUUUCUUAAGGACACCAUCAUUCAAUUCAUUCCUUUCACACAGGUUUUGACAAUACAUGUUUUAUAUGCAGAACGACCCAGUGAAAUAAAUUGAAUAUUUGAGGAGUUCAGCAUCAUUAUAUGAGCAUUAAGCCAUCAAGGAAAGGAAUAUCAGCAUAACUUUUAUAGAAGGCUAUGAUAUAGACACCAAAGGAGCAUGGUUGCAAUCGGCAAUCCAAUGUUUCAACAAGCAUAAAUCAACAUUGUACAUCCAAGAUCAUUGGUAUAUUCUUAUCUCUUACCAAAAAACACAAAAGACUCCUAGUUUAAAAACAACUCCUGCAUCCAUGUCAAGAUGAACUUCUUUAAGGGGAAAAAAAUGCAAAACUAUAAACCCAUACUACAGAUGAGUACAUUUGAACUUAAGCUGCAAUUUAUAAUAAAAAAAAAUUAGAAGCCAAAUACAUUCAAAAGAACAAGGAUAAGAAAAUAACUGUCUAAAAGAUGAAGAUGUUGCACUAGGUCAACUAUAGAUCUCAAAAAUAGAUCAUGAUUAAGGUUGUUAUGAAGAUCUGAAAAUAAAGUGCAGAGUCGAAAGUGAACAUCCUUUACAAGCUCAUUUCUUAGCAAAAUUUCAUAGGCUUACCACCACAAAGGUACAAUGUAUAACCCCAUCAUAAAGCCAAAAUUCCAUUUUACCAUCAUAAUCUCUCACUUCCAAGAAAAUUUGGAACUUCUGAUUAACUAGCUAGAAAAUGAGCAUCAUAAGACAUUAGAAGAAAUUAAGUACAAUAUACUCCAGAAUUUAUUACAAUAUCCUUCCUAGACAAUUAAAGAGAUCUAUGUACUUCAACUAAAUUUUUGUUAUGUUACCCACAUUUUCUAUAUAUCAUAUUCAUCAGACUAAUGAACUUUAACCACGUGUAAGAUAAACAGUUUAAUCAGGUCCUGGUUAUAUCUGAUGAUUUAUCAAGAGGAAUGAUGAUGACUUUCUAGUAUUUUUCCUGCAUAUCAACAGGUUUGCACUGUCGGAGGACAAAUGACAAACAAACACUGACACAUUUUUUUCUUUGUUAAAAGAACUGUUCAAAGUUUAAAAGCCAAAAAUGAUACUUGUGCACUAAGUUUCUUUCUUGUUUAUCAAGACAUUCCCACCUUUUUCUCAAAAAAAUACAAAAUGGUAAAUUAAAUGAGACUGCGACUAAUAGAUUUAGAAACACAAAAGUGUCUUAAAAAUAACCAACAUAUUUAAGUCGCUUACUUCAGACCAAAGCUAUGUUCUUAAACAUUAUACGGUGUAAGAAAUGAGCUAGAAAAGAGGAAAUACAGAUCAUCUUUUUUUUCAACCGAGAGUACUUAUAUAACAAUAUGGAUGCACCCUAUAUCAGUGUUGACAAAUGAAAACAUCUUCCAUAUCAGACAAGAACAUUGAAUUAAUAAUCAUAACAAUAAGAUCCGGUAAGAAGAAAAGAAACAAACCUCCCUUAAAAGAAUUCAUCUCUAAUUCGACAGAACUACAAGUUACCCAGAUUCAGAUCGAGCUCUUGGUUCAAUAAACAAAGAAGACGUAGAGGCAAUAACCUGCAAGACGCUGUUGCAGUAGCAGGUGUUGCCGAAGUUCUCAAGGCCGAAGUAGCGCUCGCCUUCAGGGAACUGGUCGCCGAGGGCCUUCUCAAGCUUGGAGCCGGCGGCCCCCAUGACUGUCCACUUGUCCCACCAGCCGCCGGCGACCCCGGUGAGGUACCGGAACCCUAGACCAAGACCGGAACGCGACCUCUCCGGCCCCCUCUCGGCCGCCGUUCCGCUCGCCUCCGUUGACGAAGGGGUCUCCACGGUGAGAGAUCACGAGUAGGCUCGAGCUUCUAGGGUUUGAGGCACGGUCCCUGAUGACGAGGGCGAAGCGAAUUCCCGCGGCUCCCGUUCGUUCGGCGUACGGGCGAGAGAGUGUAGGAGAAGAAAUGAUCGAGGGUGGAAUAGCGAAAGAAAGAAGGUUAAAACAGUGAUCGAUCGAUCUGAACGUUUUCUUUAUUUUUGUUUUCCUUUUUCUUUUUGAUGUUGUUUCGUCGUCAUAUUUUUGUUCGAGAGGAAGACUCUUCCUGUCUUCUCGUCGUUGACUCGCCUACCGGCUUUCUCAUUGGAUGCCUCAGGGAGAACCCAUACAUGUGACCCUAUUAGCGAUAAGGUGUGCCGUGGGGUACGUACGAAACCGGAUGUUUUCAUUUAUUUGCGCACUCCACACGUGCAUACCGUUUACUUCAUAUAUUCCCGUCUAAACAUGCGAGAAAGCACGGCUGGAUUUCUAUUUUUCGGUGUGUAAGACGAAACUAAUGAACUAUUCUGCGGUUAGACAUGCUAUUAAACAUGAGUCGAUUUAUCAUAAAAUCCAAUGUAAUUUUCCUGACACUAUAAUCAAAUACAAUCCGAAUUAUCUUAGUGUUCUUCUCGUAUAUCAUUUCAGAAAACAUGGGAUCAAAGCUUCCCAGUUAUCAUUUUCCACUAUUUACGAGUCACGCAUCAAACCAGAUAUAAAUAAUCCUUCUAUUUUAUUGGUAUACUGCCAACUAAAAGUGUUUAUUAUUUAUAAUUUUAAUAGAUAUUUAAAAGAUUAUUAUUUUAUGCCCUGUCCUAAUUUAAUUAGAUUUUUAAGUGAAAGAAAUUUAUGUCAUAACUCGUUAUCCAAAUGGGAAACAAAAUAAUAGGGCAGAAAUUUGAGUUACAACUUGUGCUAUCUCGAAUUGAAGCAAUAACAUAAUUGAGUUUAUAACAUAAAAAAGAUUGACUAAUGUACUUAGGAUCAUUAACCAAAUUAAUAAGAUACUAGAGAUGUAAUGGCACUGUUGAAAUUUGAAGCGGGAGAUGAACAUAAAACUGAUAAGUAGAUGAGAUUUCCUCAAACAGUUAGGAGAAAGCUACCACUUGCAUAAUUGGAUCACGAAUCUACUCCACUGUUGCUACCACUGCAGAACUCAAUUGGAUCACGAAUCUACUCUAGGAACUCAACAUCGAUACCUAUCCCACUUUGUACGCGAUCAAGUUGUCCGCCGUCAACUUCGUGUUUCUCAUGUUCAUACGGUUGAUCAAUUGGCCGACUUAUUUAUGAAGCCUCUCGUAAACUUUUUGCAUUACAUCUGUCCAAGAUUGGUGAUCGAAGUACCAUCUUGCGGGGCGUGAUAAGUAGAUGAGAUUUCCCUAACUGUUUGAGGAAAUCUCUUACUCUGUCGAGGGAAAUCAUCUAACCUGUUGAGGAAAAUUCUCCCUUCUAACCUGUAUAAAAGGAAGGGGAUAUGUUAAUAACAAUCAACUUCUUCUACAACUUAUUUAUCUAUUUAUUUUCUAACAAAGACAAGACAAAGCAAUAAAAAAGAAAAAGGUUUCUUUCCACUCCUAUUCUCUACGUUGCAACAAGAUAUUAUAUAAGUCUUUAUAUAUAAGAGAAUUGACAGUUUCUAAUAUUCAGAAAUUACUACAUUUGAGCAUUAUGGAUAAAGGAGGAAACAAUUUUUUGUGUUGCACGGAAAGAAUCCCAGUAUUUAUUUUGUGCUGCAUAGAAAGAAUUCCAAUUACUAAUGAUUUUCUUAUAUUUCUGUUAUGUAAUAUAAUUCAAAACUCAUCAAUUGAUUUAUUUAGUUGCCUUCCUCCUUUUAUCUCAUUGCCAUGGUUAAGCUGAUUUGGCUUUGGCCUUCCAUUUAUCAUAAAAUUGUUAGUAUCAAAUAAAAAAAUACAUGCAUUAUCAUUUAUAAGUUGACUAAUAUAAAUUAUUAUUUUUUAGUUUGGGAACGACGAGAAUAUUUCUUAAUUUCAAAUUACCAUAAGAAGUUUUUAAGAAAGCAUCACUUAAAUCAUACCCAAUCAUAAUAAUAGGUCAUAAACAUGUUUUACUUUUUUUUAAUUUUUUUUUUAAAAUAUUAUAUUUUUUUAAACAAAAUAAAAAAUAUUAAUUAUUUAGAUCGACUUAAUGGAAGUUGACACAAUAACACUCGAAAUUAAAAUAAGUUAAUUAGAUCAGAAAAUAUAUCUAAAAAUAUAUUUAAAUUUAAAUUACUUUAUGAAUUUUUUGGGUAUUAUUUGUAAAAAUGAAUAGGGAGUGCUAUGAAGUGGUCUGAUGGUAUAUUUCUACCAAAUCAUAUAGAUUUGCGGCUUUUCCUGGUAAAAUAUUUGGGCCAAAUGGAACGAAUACGUAUACAUAAACGUUCACUCGUUACAGCUAUUUAAAUAUAUGGGCCAAAUCGGAUCGACUGAGCCAACCUACUCAUCGAUACCCCAUGGCAGAGACGUCCAAGAAGCGACCGCUUCCCCCAGACGAAUUCGACUCGCCGCCGCCGGAGUACGCUCCUCCCUUCCUUUUUCUAUCCCAAACCUCUCCUCCUUCUUGUGCGAACUUUAGGGUUCCUUGAUUGAUUCCGAUGUGGGGGCGAUGGCAGGCAGAGGCGGGCUAGGUUUCCUAAGGGUAAGAAAGCGAAGAGGGGCAGCGAAGACCUCCCCUUCCAUGGGGACGGCGGAGACGGCAACUGGAUGGACCCACAGCUCGCUGCCAAGGAGCGCGCCAAGCGUCGCAACCAGACGCGGGAGAACGAGGUCUUAGGUGACCAGGUGGACGUCUUCUCCGGCGAAAUCCAGUACGAGGUGCUUCUACCUUCCCUCGUCACUUAAAUCUAUGAAAUAAAAGCUGUACAAGUGUAGUGGUUUUUGGUAAAAAUAUGUUUCCUCUCAUAUCUGAUACAUGUUUCAGGAAAGACCAUGUGUUUGUAGUGCAGCCUUUUUCAUCACGUUUAUGGAAAUUAGGCUGUCUGAAAAUGUGUCUUGUUGUUUCCUGUCAAUCUGUAGGAUCGGGGAGAGGUAUGGAUAUCGAUUGCCGUCAUUUUUUAUGAGGAUGAUGCUUUCAUCACAUUUAGUAUUUUUGCUAGUAAGUUCAUUUUGUGGAGGGGGAUACUAAGUAUUAUUAUACACUUGGGCUGCGAAGGAUGGGUUUUUUGUGGGUCUUAAUGGUGCCUUUAAAUUGGUUCAGGGUUCGAUUAAUCAGGGUUAGUUAUGAUAAUUUAACUUUGGUUGCUAGAGGAUGACCUUUUUGGUUAGCAAGUAGAAUUAGAGAUUAUUUUAGACCACCAUUUAUAUGAGUUAUUUUUAUUCCGAAUUGUUAGGGUUCAACUUCUUUAAUUGUGUCAAUCUAAUCACCUCAACUUUGAGCUUUUGACUUUUCAAAACAAAAACAAUCAACUUUACUUUUAUGUUUUUAUUGAUAUAGACGGUUUGCUAGUCAGUCAAAAAAAAUGUUCCUGAUGUCUAUUUACAUUUCAUACCAAGUACUUGACUUGUAUGACUAUAAUAUUGAACAAAAAUGGCUAUGCUUGGGAUGCUUAAAAACGGUGCAAGUGAAUCGAUAUGUUCUCUUCCUUUGGUUUGGAGCGUUCAUAAUCAUAAGUUUUGUUUUUAACCAAUGGAAUAGUAUGUCGGCAUGCAUCAUAGUACCAAGAGGGGAGGGGCGAGGAGAAGAAGACGGGCAAGAGGAGGUAGAGAUGGAGAAGGAGAAGAGGAGGAGGGAGGAGUACCAGAUGGGGGCAGGGUGUGGCUGGCAGUGCGAUGGUGGGUGGGCAAUGACAUGCUUCUGCACUUCUGCUUUGUCCACCCACAAUGUCUAUUCAAGAGUAUUCAGAAUUCUAGCCGAACUCAAUAUGGAAAGCCUUUUGUAUUAGUUAAUACUUGAUACACACCUCGUUGAAGAUACAUUGGGUAAAACUUGUUGUUUUGAUAUACACUUGUAUUUCAUUACUUUUCCAAAAAUUCUCAACUAAGAAUUUCACUUGUUAUGUGCUGGCUAAUAUGUUUUGUUUCCUUAAGAUGUUAGCACCAGAUACUCAAACUACCAUUGUUUUAUUUUGUCUGUAUUUCUGGGUCACAUUAUCUUCAGCAUUUUUCUCAGAAUGAAAGCAUUUGAGACUAUUGCUUGGGUCUACUAUGAUCUGUUUAAUUUUCUCACUUUAUUGUCAUUUUUCAUCAUAUAUGUAAUUAUGAAUAUUCUUUUAUUACUCAUCAACGUUAUAUGACAGUAUCACUGCUAAUUUUAUACAUAGACAACUAAUAGCUAAUGGUGAUUAUGUAGCAGGAUAAUGUCAACUUUGAGGAUGAUGGGAUUCAAAUAGAACCAUUUAAUUUGAAGCAAGAGAGAGAAGAAGGUUACUUUGAUGCAAAUGGAAAUUUUGUUGAAUACACUAGACAAAAUGAAAUUAAGGUGUUCCCCCUGCUUUUCCUCUUUGUCCUUUUCUUCCCUUUCCAUCUAUUCUUUCCCAUCCUUUCUCUUCUUCUCCCUUCUUUCUCCCACCACUUCUAUUAUCACACACACUCGCGCGCACGCGUGUAGAUACACAUAUAUAUGUAUGUAUAUAUAUGUAUAGUCGUGCAAUGUGAGAUGUACACUUGACAUUUAUUUCCGGUCGAUCCAGGAUGCAUGGCUAGAUAAUGUUGAAGUUGAUACAAGAUUUGUGGGAAAGUUUCAGCCAAAAAGUACUGCAGAGGAGGUAUAUGAGGAUCUUUCUUCAGAUGAUAUAGGGAAAAUAAAAAGAAGAAUAGCUGAUGCACUUCAGCCAGGAGAAACGGUAACUUCAAGACUUAUGAAUUAUUAUUUUUGUUGACUUUAUUCUUUUGCAGUUUAUUAUGAUGAAUGAUUGCUGAAAACGUCUAGUGCUUGUCUUAUCAAGUCUUAAUUUGUAUUCAACUUGCUUAUUGGAUUUGUCUCGGUUGAACUCUUUCGGUACCAAAAUACAGAAGCAAUGAACUGAUUUCGUGAGGCUUUUGAUAUUGGCUUUGUAAUAGUUGUUACAACUGGAUAGGGAGUCUGAAAACAGAAAUGUCUUUCAAUCUAUUGGUGUAACUUUGUUAGUUGUUAUCUUGAUCAAUGCAUAUCUGACUUGCUAGUUGUCCUGUGGAAUCUAAGAUUCACUUAUGAUCAUAUUUUAAGGUUUUAGUUAUGUAGGUUCUCUGUCCCCAUUUACCUUUAAGAACCCCUUUUAUAUAGAAUCCAUGUGGUUGCUUCUGUAUACAAUUACAUGUUACCUUGAAUAAAUAGUAAUUCUUCAGUACUUGCCCUCAUAUAUUAUUUAAUCUUAGACCCCCCAACUUGUGUCAAUAAUCAAUAUGCAGCUGGUAUUUCAGGAGUAAAUUUAGCUGAUUAAACUAGGUAGUCGACUGAUUAUACACUUAUUUUUCCUUCAUCUAGGUACCUAAAAUAAUACUACUGUUGAUGAUUACUAAUUACUGUGGACAAUUCAGAAUAGACUCAAGGUAUUAUGGCAUAGUUCCUUUCCAGUAUGACACAUAGGGAGAAAUCAUGUUGUCUAUAGGCCACACACAUCCUAAUGGCACCAAUUAGAUCAUGACACUUGCUAGCUUGUUAAAAAUCAAAUGUGGUUGUGCGCUCCACAUGGUGAAGUUAAUCCAGUCAUGCCCCAAUCCACACUUGGUUCACUUGAGAAUUACGCUUGUUGAUGUGGAGGUGUCUGGUGGUCUAGUGAGUGGCUCGGGUAUCUGAUCUGCUAAAACUUAUUGUUGGGGGCAUAUACACAACAGUCAAGUUUGUUGGCUAUCUGAGAUUGGAAGUAGAAUAAAUGUGUGUUUAUUUCUUUGAAUUUCACAGAGAGAGCCUCGCAUACCUGAGAGCCCCUAUUUAUGGAGAGCCCUAAAUGUAUGUGGAAGCAUUGUCCAAACCAAAUCCAUUAAGUUAGAACAGGAAACCGGGUCUCUAGGGUUUUAAUGAUGAUGCGGCUGAUGGCAUAGAUGUUGAUCAGGUGCUGAUGAGGAGGGAGAUGUGGAUGUUGAUCGGGUUGGCUCUCCACGUCAUAUUACCUACUAUCAUUUGCCCCCAUUGCACUCCAAGGAGCAAAGUGUGUCAGAGUGCACUGUACACUUCAAGGAUUGAGUUGAUGUGACAUACCAACAUGGCCGUAUCAAAGAUAGAUGACUCUUCAUGGUUUGACUUGACCAAACUGAAAGGUUGGUGAUUUUUUUAUAGUCCAAGAUAGCCGCAUCGAAAGUUGAUGACGCUUCAUGGCCCAACAUGGCAGCAUCGGGAGUUGAGGAUGCUUUGUGGCUUGACAUCAUCGUGUUGAAAGUUGAUGACGUUUGCCCAAUAUUGGGAGUUGAGGAUGCUUUGUGGCUUGACAAGGUCACGAUGAAAGUUGAUGAUGCUUCGUCACCCAAGAUGGCCACGUCGAGAGUCGAGGAUGCCUUAUGGACCAGCAUGUCCACAUGUCGGGACAGUUCAGAAUAGAUGCAAGGUAUUAUGGCAUGGCUCUUUCCACUACAUAUAGGGACAAAGCAUGCUGUCCGUAGGCCAGGCACAUAUCCUAAUGGCACCAAUUAGAUCUUGACACUUGCUAGCAAACAUGACAGAUCUGACAUGCCAGUCCUUUGAUCCAUCUCAAAUUUGAUGCUGCAAACAGUUUCUUAGACAAACUAGUAACAACAUGAUUUCUGUGAACAUUCUUAUUCAACUUCUUCUGUGGCAUUCUUAUCUGCAAUUAAAUAUCUGACUUUUGCUGUUUCACAAUUGUUUCAUGAGGUUCUAAUGUGGAUGAGAAAGCAUUUGAGUUCUGUUUAGAUCACAAAAAUAAAAAAGGAAUCUAACCGCUUAAUUAAUUAUUUAUAUACUGAAAUACUUCCAUCGAACAGUGGCCUUCAAGCAGAGAGAUAAUACUAGGAUAUUUGCAGUUUUAUUACGUUACUGAGUCUGAUGCUUUUCUAAUUUUUGCCGUCUUCUAUUUCAGAUAAUACAAGCUUUGAAAAGGUUGAAAGGAACUUCCACCGACAAGAAAGCAAAGAUGUUGGAUGCCACAAAACAGAUAUUUGAUCAACUCACUGAAGAUGCCAUGAAACUCAUGGAGAAUGGAGAUUACAGUUGAGUGUAAUUACAUGUCAUCAAACUAUAUAUUUAUAUAAUUAUUGGUUGGUUGAAGAAGGAUUGCCAUCUUGUAUCAUGGGGUUAUGCUGAUCAUUUUCUGGCCCGUCAUGCCAAUUGGCACGCCUCCUGUUCUGUUUGAGACAGACCAUUGCGUGCCCCCUGUUGUGUUUGAUACAGACCAAAAGUUGGCUGGUCAUUUGACCUGUGUUGAUAUGUUCUGAUUGGAACGGUAAUCCUUGAGUCACACUGUAGUAGGUUAUCCUCAUUAUGCACUAAGGUGUUUGCUCUUUGAUGAGGUGGGAUCUUUUUUUUUUCUUUUCAAGUGGUCUUAAUGCAUGUUUCCUAUUAAGGAAGCAAACUAGAUAAGCUAGGUCAUUUACAACCACUUGAGGUUAUUGUGCUGUUGUUGUGCUCUAACAUCUCUAUUUUCUCUUGAAGAGUUUCCUGAUUGGAAGGCUCAAAUGCUUUUGAUAAGAUGGUGAAAUGAUUUGCCCAGUUGUUCAAUACUUCAAUAUAACUAACUUUUUUUCCUUUGUUUGGUUUCCAGAUGUUUACUAUGAAGAACAGGAGACCUUUGCGCGGGAAGCAGGUGGAUGUGUCGUUUCUUCUAAUUUUUUUGAGAAGUAUACACUUAAUUAUUUACAGAUAAAUACAUAGAGUAACCUGUAGACCAUAAUAGCAAGUCGGACUUUCCUAUAUAUCCGACAGGCAUAAAUAUGCUUCUUGAGACCUCUCUUUUGUUUGUGUCUGUUUUUAUGUCAAUUUUUGGUGCUCAAGUUUAUUCUUCUGCUCUUGAUGUACUGUUAAUACCUUAUUUCAAAAUCUGUACUUAUCAUAAUGAUUUUUUUGCUUUUGUUGCUUGUUAUGUUCAAAGAUGGUGAGUAGUUUCAAUCAUAUUGAUGCUUAUCUUUCAGUUUGCAACAGUAUUUCUGAUUAGCAACCUUCGCUAUCCAAGUACAGGAGUGAUGUAGCAUUUAUCUGCUAUAUGUCUGUCUUUGGCGAUGAUAAUUUAUUGUAGCUACUGAGUACUGACGAACUUGAAAUUGCAUAGGCUUUCAUUCUUCUGCUUCCCAGAAGAUUUAUACGAUCGUUCUGUUUACUGAAUCCUUUUUCUGCAUUUUAAAACCAUACCUUGAGCGGCCUUUCUCUAUCAUAUAUAUGAGCAGGUGUUUUGGUAACUUGAAUAUUAUGUAUGGGAUAUAUCUACUGUUAGCAACUUUAUAUGCAAUCUUAAGAAGUAAAAGAGAGUACAGGCCAUAAAAACCUACAGAACUUUAUAUGUUAUCCUUUUUUUUAAAACUCAUUCUUGAGUCUGAGACUAUUUUUUCUGUCACAGUAUUAGAAUGGAGUGACUUUUCUGAUAGAAGUUUGUUGCUCACAAAUUAUGACUCAUCUUUCACUUUCAUAGACUUUAGUUUUAUGCUUCAUUUUUCUCCUCCUAUCGUGUACCACAGAAUAUUUUUCUCUUUGUUUCUUUGCUUUGUUAUAUUAUCUUUAUCAGUUUGGCUUAUAUCCUUUUUAUAGGUUAAACAAUCUUAUACACUAGUUGAAAGACAAACUCUAUGACUAGGACUCAACCAUUCCUUCCUCCAUAGCUCGUAUUAUGGUUUAUGAUGGCAAAUUGUCAGUUUUUUGGGCUUAAAACAUUAUCACCAUUGAACACUUCAGGUCAUUACAUGCUAUAGCUGGAGACUACUUCAAAUGAUGAGAAGAUGAAUGAAAAUCAAGCAACAUAAAACUGGUUUUUGCAUUACACUAAUAAUUUUUGAGUCACCGAGGCAAAUAUAAUGACAAGAAGAAAUCGCUUUUGAACUGGAGUCAUCUUUUCAAACUCUUUAAUGCAUGUAGAAAGAGUCUAGAUGAGUGGGGGCUUAACAUAGUUCAGUGAGUUCCAUUUUUUAUUAGCCUUAUUUACUAGGAUCGUGUCACCUAUCAUGCUCCAAAGGUAAUGUUUUUACCAUCUGUUAAUUUCUAUGGAGAAGGUAUCUUGGUUGUGAGAACUGAUCAGAAUGUGUUUCUUGUUUGUGAUAAAUGAUUCCUUAUCUGUUUCGUGUUGUUCCUCGGGGUAUGUUGAGCCUCUAAAUGGGUAACUUUCUACAAAACCUACUUUAUAUCAUAGUGGUCAUUUACACCUGAGGAAAAGAUUGAUCCACUUGAUUAUAAAAUUAUAUCGUUUUUAUGUUAAUGCAUAAUAACCUAUAUAUUUAAUGGUGCAUGCUCUGCAGUCAACUGUUGGCACCUGUUAGUCUAUCUUUUAUGUUACUUGAAUAUGGAAUUGUUGAAACAAAGAAGUUCAAUGUCAUGGCACAUUAUUAUGUCAAAAGAAGAUGGUAGGUCAAGAAGGAUUGAUCGGUUGUUAACUUAGAUGGUAGAUCAUGCUUUUUUUCUGCUAACCUGACUAAAGACCUAUGUGUGUGGUCACAUGACCAGAUCUGCACAUGUGGCCAGCUGUUCUAUGUAUGCAUGUGGUUGCAUGGCUGCACUAACUGCAUUUCGGUGUAUGAUAUUCUGCUGUGAGUGUCCAUAUGUAGAACUAUAAAGGAGUGGCUUGCUUUGCUAUGAGUAGGUGAUGUUUUGCAGCUAUAUUGUUCUUAGUUCCACUGUCUUUCCUUAGUGCUACUUUUUAUUUCUAAUAACUCCUUAAGUUGGACAUCUAAAUGUAGGAUACCAUAUUUGUUAUGUUGAACAUGGAUUUUCUUAGCAAUUAUUCAACUGAUUAUCUUUUUCAUCUUCCAUGUACUAUACUACUAUCUCAGGAAGUAAUUAUGAACUUGUAAAAUUUAAUCUAUUACAGAAGGAUAUGAGCGAUUAACUCGUGCAAAAGCUGAUACGACUGGUACAAAAGGCAUCAUUUCUGAAUCAGAUUGUGCGGAGGAUAUAUUUUCUGAUGGUAUGCAACAUGGAGAACAAAAAUCAGAGAUAUGGGACAUACAUCCUAGACCUUCGGCAGUUAAUGUCUCUGUUCAACAAGCAUCACCCGAUGAUAGUGGUGACAAAAUUGACAUGUUUGGGGAUGAAGAAAAUGCCAACGAGAAUCUACCUGUCCCCAGUGCUGAGCAGGCUGAUCAACCUACUUCAGGAAGCUUGGGUUCUUCCCAAGACCUGGGCUCUGGAGGUUUUUUUUUUUUUAAUGUGUCAAUGAAUGCCCUCCCUUAACUAGGUGGCUACGGCCUUCCAUGUAAGUGAUUUUCUUCUAAAGUUUGAUUCCCGUGCAGCUGUCAGUCAUGGAGGGGAUGGAAAUGAUUAUGUAUUUGACGAAACAUCCGGGUAAGCAGUUCAGCCAUCUUUGUUGAAAAAAUUAAGGAGUCCUAGCAUCUCAUUCUCCAGUUUUUAUUUUUUGAUGUCAAAUCAAUCUUUGACUGACUCAACGGAAAUUCUUCUGGAUAAAUUGGAUGGCAAAUAUGUAUAUUUUUUCUUAUUAAUCAAUUUAAUCUACAGGGUCAUUUCUUGUUUAUUCUUUUUCUGUGAUGUAAAAGUAGGCAUGUUAAAAUGGAGUGCUGAGGAAGGAAAAAGAAGGCAGUGUACUUUUUGCUGUUAAAUUGUGUUGUUUAAACUAAGCACAAAAUUCUUCACAGCGAAUGCUUUACUAUGUUUGUUAUUUGUUUUUGUUUGAGAAACCAUCUCCUGCACUAGGUCAUAUCUUCUAAUUUUGGUCAAAGGUUGGGAUUUUAGACCAACAAAUUUUAUUAUUGUCUUCAUUGUUUGAUCUUGUAGUGUGUAAACUAGAAUUUUGAAUCUUGAAGCACACAUCCAGUUAUUCUGUAUCUUUGGACUCGAUUUUGUUGUGUUCAUUAACUUCAUUGAAUAAUUACCUUUUACCUUAACAAUCUGAUGUUUUUUCCAGUUUGAAGUGGCUUUACUAGUAUGCCUCUAGUUUCGUCAGAUAUCUUGAUUUUGAUAAAUUCUUAUUUUGCCUGCUUCUUUGCUGUAAUAGUUAAUAACUUCCUAUUUUGCCUGCUUCCUUGCAGUUACUAUUACAGCAGCAGCUUGGGCUAUUAUUAUGAUCCUACUUCGGGAAUGUACUGCUGUGGUGCAACAGGGACAUGGUAUUUAUGCCUAAAAUUAAGUUAACACUAGUAGUCGUGAAAUACACCAUUUAUUUAGUUUUUAAUUCUUCCACACCUAUUAUCUUUUUUCUUUUCUUCUUUGUUAUUCUUAUCAUUGACCUUACCACCAUCACCACCAUUGUUGUCUCCUUGGUGACAACACAAAUAACCAUGGGACCAAGUUACCUGCGUGGAUCAUAUUUUAAUAAUAUAACAUAGAAUGAUUAACCUUUGUGGUUAAUCCAUGGUUCGCGUUAUCGGUCCGUAUCGACGUAUCGACCAACCAUCAGUAUGGUACGUUUCGAGUUAUACUGAGCUAUAUCGAACAUACCAACACAUAGUACAUAGGGACAUACUGAUGUAUCGCUCGUACCAAUCUCCUGUUGGACCAAUAUAUACCGCCCGUACUGAGCGGUACACCAUGGUACGGCAAACCUUGAGUUAAUCAAGUUUAUAAAUACUGUUAUACUGCUUUUCGGAGCGUAAGGUUAUUUUGUUCUUUGCAAUGAUUUUCAUGUAGCGAAGCAAUUCAUUGGUCAUUGUUAUAUCAGCAGAAUUGUAUGACUUUGAAUUUUUUUUCCCUUUAUUAUCCUAGUUGUUCCUAUAAUCUGUUCCAUUUAGAGUAUUUCUCAAGCUUUCUAUUAAAAAAUAGUUUUUUUUUUUGUUCAGGUACACAUUUGAUGAGCAUAGUGGCACCUACACUGAAAUUCAGAGUUCCACAACCGAGAGUUGAAGAGUCUAUAAAUGGACCAAAUGUAUAAUCUGCUCAUAAGAACUCCAAUGUUGUAAGUCUACUGAAACGACAACCAAGUGUGACAUAACUUUCUACAGCAUGCACAGACAAGAAAGAUACAUUUAGGUCAUCUGAGUUUCUGGGUGUAGCCAACCGUUCACCCCUUUUUUAAUUUAAUGGGAUAAUUUGAACCAGUUUCUUGACUUCAGUUUGCGGCUGAUCUUUAAAAGCUUCUGUAGGGACAGAAUAGUGCCAUUUCAUGGGGUCUGAUAGGUGCUUGGUUUCCUCUUAAUUUUUGCUGGGGUUGUUAAAGGUGAAUACAGAGUGAAAAUGCAGCGAGCAGCAGCAUGCAUAUAUUCCUAGUAGUUGUCUAAUUGAUCCUGCAGCCCGGCAGAUGUACCCGUUGAUGAAGCCAUUUCUGGAGCACGUUUCACCUUCCAUACGAAUAGAGGAGGUAAGACUUGAGACAUCUUCCGCCAUGAAGUCACUCUUAUAGGUUCAGAAAGCACUUGAAGAUGCUGCUUAGCUAUUAGGUUUUCAUUUUUUUCCUGUCUUGAUUGGAAGCUAUUCUUUUAAGAUGGUAAUUUGUACUUUUGUCAAAUUUGUUCACACAAAAGGCACACAUGUUUGUGAUGGUAACACAGGAGGGAAUUUUAUCCUUAUAAAUUUUAAGAUUCUUCGUGAACAUCUCUCCUGUGUUACUAUCAAUCCAAACAAUACAAGGUUACCAAUAUCAAAACAAUAUACUAAUAUAAAAUGAUUAAAUUAAUGUUCAAAGUUUGUCAGUUUAUGGAGAUUACCAAAAGUUGUAUGGGUAAGUUUUUUUUUUUUAAUGUUUUUGGGGAUAUUUAAGUUAGAUCUAAAUUUAGAGGGAUGAAUCAUAAUUAGUUUUUCCAUUAUACUUUUGCUGUGUGCUUCAAUUUCAACUUCCUUUUAUUUAUUCCUUUUUGCAAAAGAAAGAUGGAUUUUGAUUGGAGAGCAAAACAUUGGUCAUCCGUGAGAAAAUUAAUUUAACACUCUCAUUCGUCCUCAUUAUAUAAAUUCAUCUUGACUUACCUUAAUAAUAAGAAAAGGGUUGCAUUCGGGUGAACCAAAAAUUCUAGCUUAGAUUCUCAAUACAAAUAUAAUUAUAUAUGCCUAUUUCUUGUAAACUUGGCCAAUAAAUUUGUAAGUCGAUGUUCUUCAUGAAAAAUUAAAAAUUUUAUUUGAUAUAUUUUUAUACCUUAAAUAUUAGUCUAAUUGUAAUAUAUCAAUUGCUUUUACCAAAAAUUAAGGGUUGAAAAUCUAUCUGACAUAUUUAAUUAUUGCCAUGAAAAAAAAAAGUAACAGUUAAUUUAGUUGGUAAAAAUCUUAAUAAUUUAUUAUAAGAUUUUAAAUUCAAUUCCUGUAUGUCUCUACGUAGGGUCCAUUUCAUAAGUCAACUCUGAUGUGGCAAUUGAAUGGAUUCCAAAUAGAAGUCACGCACCACCGACGACCUUCCCUUUGCUAUUUUGACCAAGGAUACAGUGGUCAACUUUUAUGUGGAAAUUGCAUGGAUUUCAAUGGAACUCACCGGUCAAACGAUGCACGAACAUUAAAUACCAGAACACUACAUUAGUGUAAGCGACAAGGUUUGACGAAUGACUUCGAGCGCAUGCAAAGCGGUCGGUCAGCUCAAAGCUUGAGUCCCGCACUCAUGGUAGCUCUGCGUGUGAACAUCUACCAAGCAUUGAGUGUUGCUGCAGCAAGAAAGAUCUCCUCCUCGCUUCCAUCCCAAUCACAGCUCGUGCAACCACGCCCCUCCAUGGCCAAACUCUGGCCAAUCCUCUGCGUCUUCGGUGCUUCUGUGACUUCGGCCUUCAUCUCCACUGACAGGCUCGGAGGUUCAAGCCCGCAAAGCUCGGAACUCACAGCAGCAAAUCUGACGCAUCUCUUCGACGCCAUGUCCGGCGAGGCCACCACCUCCUUCCACGCCACCUCAGCUCUUCCCAAGAGCUUCGACCCCGCGAACCCUCCAAGAACCGAAGCUCUACCCCUUCUCCUCCUCCAACGAAGCUCGAACACCACCGUGUGCGGCUCGAGCAGUUCUCCUACGGGGUCGGCGGCGCCCUGGCACUCGAUGGUGGAGAUCUCCUCCCAACGCGGGUUGCCUGUCGGAGGGACCUCACGCGUGUCGACGCGAAUUCUUCUCCCGGUUCCUGCCACCACAAAGUAUCUGAUGCUCAGGUUGCCCGGGAGAUCAAGAUCGAAGUUUGACAGUCUAUCAACCUUUAUCUCACAUCUGAGGUGAGAGAGCUCACUGCAAUUAGACAUAACGAAGCGAAUGGAAUGAGAAGGAGAGGUAGAGAGAUCAAAGAAGAGACCGAAGUGGAUAUGACGGUCGUCAGGCAAUGGCUGCUUAUAUACAAGUUGAAAGUGCGAGGGGUGUCUCAGGCAGUGGAAGCGGGCCAAUUUGUUGAUAGCGAAAGAAGAAUAGCUUGAUAUAUAAUUGUGUUGUUUGAUAUGAACCCCAACCCCUGUGGGCACUGCAGAAGAUGGCCAACUGUAAUAGACUUUGGAUGAACCAGGAGCCAGAGGCCACAAAACAAAAAGGGUCAUAUGGAAGUGCUUUUGUGGAGAUAAGGCUCAGCAUGGUGGACUUGUAGCCUCCAUGAAGGAAGUCAAAAGGAUUCAGGCUCCUGUUCGAGGAGAUGUGUGGGUUAUGCAACCACUUACCUUGGUCAUCCACUAAGCCAUAAGCGAGGGAUAGCAGCACUUGGUGGUCUUUGGUCUUCACAUUUGACUUUGGACAGGAAUGUAGGAAGUGCAGCAUUACUUUUUGUUGAGACUCAGAAAUAGGGCCUUUUAAUUUGAAUCAAGUCACAGUAUACAGAUCAAUGCAAGUAGAACACGAAUGAUUCAUGUAAUCAACUUGUGUGGAAGCUAAAGUGUGCAUCUAAUAAGAACUUUGAAAUCUAAUUCUUGAGGUAAACUUGACCUCUUCCUCAAAAUCGAAACAAGUAUCUUUAAAAGCCAUAUAUGUGAACAUAAUUUCUGUUCUUCAUUCUACAUGCUGCCAUAUACAUCAUACAAAGUCAACAUCAAUAAUACACCCUCACCAUUGCUUCCACUCUUCAGUCACAAUAAUACAUGAGAGAGGAUUGGUUUUGACAUGAACAGUCUGUGGAAGCAUCCAUUAUUGCAUGCAGGAUAUUGAGUGCAUCCGACUGUUUUCCCAGUACUGAAUGGGUUGACCAGGAGAUGGGGCUACUCGGUGAGAUUAGUAUGUGGCCCAAACUUCAAAAUGGCUACAAUUCACUCCACAUGUGUGUGUGUGUGUGUGUGAGAGAGAGAGAGAGAGAGAGAGAGAGAUGAAUACAAAUCCAAGAACGAUAGCCAGAUCUGUCAGCAUUGGAUAAAACUCCAUGAGAUUCAAUGGUGAGACAGAGGAGAGAAUCUCGUCUGCAUGGGAUUAAGGAUGAGUCAUGACUUAAUGCUUUACAAAAAGAUUGGCAAGUGUUCAUCAGAUUGACAUGGAUCAAGCGUAGAAAGAAGAUGCAGGAAUGAGAAUGUUGCAGUGCAAACAGGAUCUUGAAUCUGAUAUGAUAGACUAAGGAAUACAGUGAUAAAAUAGUGAUCAAUAGAUAGUUAGAGGAGGAUUAGAAUGGUGAACGAAUUCUUAGAGGAGGAGCUGUGAUCAUAACAUUGAUUGUAAAAUAUAAAGAGCAUGUUUUUCUAACAAUGAAGGAUGAUAACAAAGAUAUCCAUGGAAAAGCUUACCUAUGUUCGAGAAUAGUGGAGAAAUACUCCUCACCUAAUCCAAAUCAAACACAAGAUGCAUUUUUCCAUAUGUUUUAUUUUGCUUAUUCCUUUUGGUUCUGAAUAUUUCAGCUAAUUGGCUAAUCUUCUAUACUUAAAAAGUGUAAAUGAGGUAUUCUUAUCAUUCGACCAGCUUUAAGCAGACACAUGAGUAGUCUCAGAAGUUAUGCUAAUCCUUAAUGGGAUCCUACAAUCCGAUUACUACAUCUGUGUUGCUCUCAUUAUUAGAUUGGGGCCUUCGCAGAUCACAAGUUUGUGGCUUUCACUUUGAAACCUAGUUCUUAUGUUUAUGAAGUACUUCAGUGAAUGGAAGCAUGCAGAUAAAGUUGUGAUGCUUGUUCAAGAGAAAACAAUCUAUGUAGUACUUCAGUGAAUGGAAGCAUGCAGAUAAAAUUCUGAUGCUUGUUCAAGAGAAAACAUUCAUUCUUAGGCAUUGACAUAGAAGACUAAUUCCUUUGUUAUUGUUUUCAUCUUGGUUCUUAUAUUCAACAAAUGUUACAGUUAAAUGGCUCAUGCAAACAUCUCCUGUGGUAAAUGAUCUAAUUCCUUGUGUACUUGGUGGAGGAAUGACUCUUAUUCAAGUUAAUCUAUGUAUUCCAUUGUGGAUGCUCUGGCAAAGAAAACCUCAUCAGCUUCUAAGGAAAAUAUAGAAAGUUCACAAGAUAAAAGGUAAUGUUGUACUUCAACACCCAUCCUCCUUAAUCUCUUCAAAGCUUAGUUGGUCAUGUUUCACCUAUAUCUAGAAUUGCUUUGUGAUUUAUGAGCUCUCUCUACAACCUACAUUAUGGUCCUGCUCAUGAUGCUUAGUUGUGUGUAUGUGUUUGUCCAGAUCUCAUUGGAACUUAGUCAUACAUAUAUCUCUCUCUUCCACUGGAGAAGCUAAUCUAUGAAAUUGCAAAGCAGGUUUUUCUUGUAACGCUGUCAUAGAUUCUUCCAAUUUUAGUGGUAGAAUAUCUAAUAUAUCGACAUAAUUGUAGCAUUUCAGCAAUUUUUCCUUGCAUUGGCAGGUUCCAUACAACUGCUCUAGCAUUUAUCUUUCAUUAAAUCAAUCUGUUUGUUGACCUCAAUGGAAUGACACUCCCACCAAUACGAGAUCCGAGGAGGAGAAUCAAUGUGCCAAACAUAUCAAUGUGCUCUAGCUUGGUUGCUGUCUCUAUGAACUUACUUUUUAAGUGCAUGGAAAAUAUGCAGCCUUAGCAGUACCUUAAUCACAGUGAUGCUUUCAAUAUUCAGUUUUUAUGAUUAGUAGGAGGAGAACACCUUUGCACAACCCAUAACAGAGAUAGGGCACCCUGGCAAUAGUCAAGGGGAAUCAAUGUUAUGCAUGCAUGAUUAGGUAUGAGAUUGAGGGGGAUUGAAGGUUAUGACAUCUGUGUUUUAUUUUUGUGCCUGUUUUGUAGGUUUUCUCCUGAUGCAGUAACUGGUAGCAUAUAGUAAACUUAUUAAGGGCGAGGUUUGAUAAUAUAUUUGCUCUUUUGCGUAACAUAAAAAAGUAUUUUUACUUAUGUUAAUCUUUCACGGAUCUCGCAUUAGUGGAAACCUCAUGUAUAUAAUAUCGGAAGACAACCAAAGGUGCUUAAGCCGAUACGGCACGUUAGGACGGAUUUGAUGCUUGAUAUGUAUAAAGUAGCAAUAAUUUGUCGAUGGUAUUUGAUCCUGCAAUCUUGACUGUAACAUGGUUAGAUAGAACUCUUAUGAUUAAAGCAGUUGUGAUGAUUCAAAUCUACUACUUAUUUUAUUGAGGUGAUUCUUAGUGCACUUAACCUGCCAUCCACAAUAAGAAAAGCAUCAGAUGCCAGUUUCUUGUCUCACUGCUCCUCCUUCACAUUGAUUCAGUGUCUGCAGAAAUCCUCUCCAGGGUUGUGAGGCAUUCACACCUAAGCCAAAGGCGAUCAUCUUUUGAGCACUUCAAUGUAGACCAGAAGAAAAAGGGAAGGAAACUAAUAAACUUCUACUAGUUGCUUGCUCUUUUCAGACUUCUGCUGGUCCAAGCAACAUCUUUUGCUUGCAAAGGGGGAUUCUUUGUUUUCCGAGAGUAAGAACAAAGAGAUGUGCUGCGGUUGGCUGGGUGGUUCUGGUGGGGAACAUCCUCCAAAGAAUUGCAUUUCUUUGGUGAUUGUGAUGGGCAGUAAAGAAGGAUAAAUGGGGUUGAACAUGGUGCCUGGCUGCCUCCGCAGGCCAUGGGGUCCUUUUCACCAAGGUAAGCUCCCAUCUCAUGCCCAUCGACUCUUCCAGUAUGGAACAGCUGUUGUUGAACAUGAAUGAUCAUACCUACCAGUGAGUGACUCAACUACAGGGCAGGUCUUGAUCAUGAAUGAUACACUGUGAGAAGUUGAAAUAGUCCCUCAACUUGGCACCAAUAAGAUUGUGUAUAUUGACCAAAUGACACCAGCAUCAGUACAAGUCUUCUGUACCAAGCCACCUUUUCAAUUAUUGACUGAGUCAAGCAAACUGCGAAGCAGAGAACAAAUCUUAUGAACGAUCGAUGUUCAAGCCGAGAAUACAAUUGCCUCUUUACCCAUAUUUUCUCUCAGCAUACUGUCAAGUAGUUGGCAACUCGUUUAGAUAGAUCCUUCGUAUCUGAAUCAAACACUCAUGGGUUUCGGUAGAUGUCCAAAGGCAGAAGCAGGCGCCUCUGAUAUGGCAAUUAUGUCCCUCACCACUGACAUGGUAAAAGAACAUGUUAUUCCAAUAUUUUUCAGAUCAUAUCCAGAAUAUUGAACAUUGAUAUGGUGUCAGUCUUUCACUCUGCCAUCCACGCAAAAUUACUUACUUGAUGUAUCAUCAAGAGGGGGAAAUCAUGCAGAUUUAAGAUCCAGCACAAUAUUCACACAACUUUGAAUCAGCUUCCAAGUUCUUUCCCCCUCCCUGCAGUCAAAAGUUUGGACAAACCUUCCAGAGUUGAUGAAUUUCUAGGCCACAAUAUCUGAAUUCAACGACUGCAGACAUCAAAUUUUACAUAGCAGGUUGGAUAACUACAAGCUACACAGGACUAUAAUACAACAUUGUUCCUCACUGGUUCUGCUGAGGAAAAAACAAACAGCAGAAAACAGCAGGUCUCAGACACAACCACAACAUACUCUACACCUAAAACCUUAGGCUUGAAUGGACUCUUACACUGAAGACCACAGAGAGAGUCUCUACAGAAGCUCAGCAAAUGUCUAAAAUACCAUUUGCAGCAGCCACUGGAGACAACAGUAACUACCAGACCUGCGUCCUGAGCUACUUACUAACUGCUGGAAGAGAGAAUGGAGUCCCAGUCGAUCUCCCAUGAUGGGCGUUUUUGCAACAUAAAGGUCUCCGAUUCAUCCCACGGCGCCUCGGUAAAAUCCAAAUGCUGCAUCUCAAGCACUGGCGGGGAGCAAGAGGAGUCUUCGCCCUCGGAGGAGCUCCCCGACUUGUUGUCCUCGGAGCCCGCCUUGGGCGCGGCCUCCUUGGUGACCGUUGGCGGCGGAUCGCCGCUGCCGAUUGUUGCGGACUCUGUGAUGGGCUUGAGGGUGGAGCUGGGCAGCGGGCUGCUCCUCUUUUUCGAUUUCGAGGAAUUGGCCAAGCCCUGGCAGAGGGCUUGGAGCUUGGCGUCGACGGUGGAGAGAAGGGGACCUGGGGCGGCGGCGGCGGCGUGCCGGAGGUUGGGGAAGUUGAGCCUGGCGAAGUCCCCGCGGAGCUUGUAGGCGGCCUUGUCGUAGGCGAGUGCGGCUUCCUCGGCGGUGUCGAAGGUCCCAAGCCAGAGGCGCGUCCGGUUCUUGGGGAGACGGAUCUCCGCCACCCACUUGCCCCAGUGGCGCUGCCGCACCCCGCGGUAUAGCUUUGUGGGCUUCGGGGCAGCGGGGGAACCGGUGUGCUUCAUCAGCUGAGGUCGCAGGCCGAGAAAGCUCGCAGCUUGGUGGUGGUGGCGGUUCGCCUGCAAUUGUCUCACGGCAAGGAGGUUCUGCUGCUGCUGGAAGAGGAAUUGAGCUUGAAUCUGCUGGAUCUGAGCUGGGCUAAGUUGGGUGAGCCCGACCCGGCCGACGCUGCCGACACCAAGGCGGUCCAAGCUACAGAAGCGCUCCGGUACCGACCCGGCGACAGACGGCGAAGGCGAGCAGGCAUCCAAGGCGGGAUCUUGACAGAGGUAACCGCCAACGGUGGGAUUUUGCAGGGAAUAGCAACCCAAGUUUGGAUUUUGGAGAGAGGAGGGGGUGGAGAAGCGGGGGGAAGAAGAGAAGGUGGACGGGGGAAGAGUGGAAGUGAGAGAAGGAUAUGAGUACGUAAGAGUAGUGGUAGAAGAGGUGGAAGAGGGAGGAGGAGGAGGAGGAGGAGGAGGGAGGGGUGGGAGAGGGGAGGAGGCGGAAGCACUUGUCAUAAAAGGCUCGAGUGCUUUCAUAAGCUCCUCAUCGAAGGGAUCUGCGGUGGUAAAUGGAUUUCUAUUGUACAUAUCUAUGGCUGUAGCCAUGCAAGAUCUAAGCAAACACUCCAAACAAAAGAGGAACCAAAAGAAGAAGAAAAAGAUGAUCUUUUUACCAAGAUAGAUCAAUAGAAGAGAGAAGCUAACAGCCCAACCCGGCUCUCAAACAAAAUCAAAGAGCAGGCAAUUGGGCUUCCAGAGUGGAGGUUCAGUUCAAAAAGCUGACCUCUUUGGCAUCUACAAGAAGGAGAAAAAUUUGAAGAAAAAGCGACCACAGGGUACAGAAAAACAACCCUCUAGGUCGACUAAAAUCCCAAAAAAAAAUGAUGAGAAAAACCCAGGAAAAAAAACUCUGGAUCUCCGUUAUGAAACCUCUGCCUCCCUAAGACAGGAAGAGAAAAACGACACCGAGGUCUGCUCUUUUCUCGCUGAAACAACGAAGAAAAGGACCUCAAGAUGAGAUUUGUUUUCUUUUCUCCUUCUUCUACAGGAGACAGAAGACGACAGAGGAGGGGGGAAGGGAUCGGGGGACAAACCUUGUGAUGUCUUCGGAUGGGGGAUCGCUCAGCCUCACCGAAGAGUGGAAAGGGGGGUGGGGGGGGUUGGCCUGUGGUGGUGGAGCUCACUCUAUCUUUUGGUGGAAGAAGGCAGGCUCACGGUGGUCGGUAUAUAAAGCCGCCUUCCCCUCGUCUUCGCUAACCACCGUGAUUAGUGUUAUCCUCAACUAAACGUGUGAUCGCACGCGCAUAAUACUGACGUCACCGCGUACGUGCCAAUGGUUCUUGAACGGACACGCGUCCUUCGACUUACAGCCUGGCAUCGGUUAAUUGAUGUGAUACGGCCUUUUUCAAUUAACUUCUUUUAUUUAUUUUAAUUAAGAAAAUACCUCUAAAGUUUCUAUUUUCAAGAAUGAGGUGCAUAUAUAUAUAUAUAUAUAUUUAUUUAUUUAUUUUUUUUUUAUUUAUUUAUUUAUCUCUUUGAAGGAUUGACACAUGAAAGAAACUAUAUAUAUAUAUAUAUCUCUUUGAAGGAUUGACACAUGAAAGAAACUAAGACAUGCACUUUGUAGUCUUACAUUUCCUAUUGUGUUCAAUGUAAGGAGAUGAAUAAUGGGAGUAGGGAUACAAGAUGAGAUGGUUGCAAUGUCAUGUUCAAAUUAAGAGUGGUGAUUGAAGUGGGUGAUUGGAUGGUAGAAUAUCUCUUUCUUAUUCAAGGUUGGGAUUUACCAAUCAUUUUGUGUAAAUCAUGUGAUUUUUUUUUUCAAAUGUAAUUUUUUUGAUACUUAAUGUAUAUAUAAUUUUAUAUAUCCUUAUGAAUAAAGAAAAUAAAUUCCAACUAUUAAUGAAUAAUCAAUUUUAUCAUUUAUUCAUCCUCACUAUGGCCUAUAUCAUAAAAUAAGCUUUUUAUUUUUCCUUAAUAAAAAUAUAAAUUAUCUAUAGUUGCAAACAUGUAACAAUUAGGACAGGAGAAAACCUUUUAGGUGUGUGAAAAGGAUGGUUCCUCCAUUUGAGUCUACUAGAAGAUUGGCUCAUUAAUUACUUUACCAUCAACUUCAUUUGUAUCACCAAAUUGGGGCAGUGAUUUCACAUAAAGUUACAUUCUUUUUAUUACAUAUAUAGAAUGUUAUUUGUGAAAAAGUAUAAAAGAAUACUUUUGGACAAUCCAUUCUCUCUCUCUUAAAAGACACUAAUAAUUAUUUGAUGUAUGUUUAUUAAUCUUUUAUAUAAAGUUUUAAAUAUUUAGUUCUUGAUUGCACCAUAUUUUGUAAAAAUCGUAAAUCUAAUCGACUUUUUCUUUGUUCUUUGUAUUAUGAAAAUAAUAUCCAUGUAGAAUAUAAUUUAUCCUUCUCCAUCACUAUAACUAUAAAUCGAUUAGCGUAGAUAUGAUAUUAUAAUUUAAAUACAAAAUUUAAAAUAUUAGUUUGAUGAUAGAUAAUAUACUUCACUUAAGAUUCCAAAAUUUUAUUCAGUAAAAUUUUAAAUAUAACUAUCAAUUAAGCAGUAAAUUUAUUUUAGAAAAAUAUUAAUCAUUUGAUUUAUUAAAUUUAUUAUUAUUUUUAUUGAGAUGAUGGAUCCAAAAAGGUUAAGAUUAAGGUCAACGUUGAAUCGAAAGAAAAAGAAAUGGAAGGAUGAGAUAAUGACACCAUUCACGCGUCCAAGGAAAAGCAUGAAAUCGGUUUGAAAGUUGCGAUCAUGCAAACGUCAACGCAAAGCUUGUCUCUCUGUCUUCAACCGAGCCGCCCAUCGAUUUGGAACACGGAAGCAACACUCGAGCCAAUUCCACACUUUUAAUCUAAUUUAAUUUAUUUAUUUUUAUCUCUCUCUCUCUCUCUCUCUAUAUAUAUAUAUAUAUAUAUAUAUAUAAAAUAGAAAUAUCAAAUAUUCUAUAGUAAAGAAACGGUCCAACCGGUGACUUGACCGCGUCGUAAAGACUAAGCAAAUGACGAACGGACACCUGCGAUCGCUACUGGCGAGCGGUGCAAAGUGCGAGCAGCGGGCCAGCGGUUGGGUUGGCGCAACAGCGAAAGGACGAACAGCUCGUGGAUUGCGGCGUGUGGGGACAGAGAAGUGCGUGGGUUCCACGCCUCGUGCUUCGCCCACCUUCUGCACCCCGUUCUUUGCGUCCCCCCCCCCUCCCAUUUGAUGUUAUUUAUUGCCCAGCCCGUGGAAAAGGAAGCGUUCGCACCGGUCGUUGCGGCGGUUGCAACUUCCCCUGCUUGCAACCGUCGCCACUUAAAUGCCGGCAUUCAUGGCGACCACGUGAGCCCGUUCCCCCCCCGCCGCAGGCUUCAAGACUCGUGCACUCGAAGCAGCUGGCUGCUUUAGAACCCCCGUCGGCGACGAGGAUCGGACGGUCGGAUCUCGCGGCGGAGGUGGAGACGCCGUCGCCCACGCGGAUUGCACCGGUGGGAGGGCGACAGGUGCGUGGCUGCAAUAAAUUCGUCCGCUCUUUAAAGACAGUCAACGCGGAACAGAGCCACGACAGGGAGAGCAGGACAGUGGCAGAGCAGUAGUUGCAUGCUCUGUCUUUCUCUCUCUCUUUCUUUCUACCCUCGCGAGGACGAAGAAGAGUCGAUUGGGAACGGAGACAGAUAAAUGAUAAGACUACUCAAUUACAUAAACUGUUAGGGAAAAUUUAGUAGGAUAAAAUUCUUUAAAAUAAAUUUAAUUAGAUCCUCCAAGCUCGAAUAUUGACGAUUAGCAGCAGCAGUCUGAAUCUAAUUACGAGUCUUGAAUGGAGAUGCGCCCACAAAUUAUGAUUGAAUAGUCAUAUGGUUGUAUGGUGGAAGUUUGAAUUGCCGACAUGAUAUAAAUUCCAGCGUUGUUUGACGUGUACAAGAACAGUGUCUGCAUAGUACAGAUUUUUAAUUCUGGAAUUAAGCGUGAUGGGUUUGGUGAUGCAUCGAACAGUGGAAUCGAAACGAUGGUGGUGGAGGAAAUGUGCAGUAAGACUACGACACUCGAUUAGGUGAAAUUGCUUACAUCUGUUCAUAUCGGAGGCCAAGUUUUCAACCGCAAUCGCGUGAGGAUGGUUGAGAUGAAGCCCUCGAGCUGAGGCUCCUCCAAGAACGCCAGGAACAAAAAAAGCUUUUUUUAUCGUCAACACAUCAUGAUUUCUGCGUGAUUCCUGACAUAUCGAGAUAAGAACAUCUCCAAAAGGAAUCGAGGGUAAUCGUGAGCCACGCACGGUGGAGCCCAAUCGCCACCCGACCUCUCACCUCUGCCUCGCUGUGGAAUUCUAACAUCAGCUUUGAAUGGACUUGAAAGACUUGUGUGACGAGUUGGGUGAUAGGUUUCCAUCACGCCCUGCUUUUCUCACAACACUCACAGGAAAGCAUGAGAAGCGAGACACGCUUUAUGACCACGGUCACAUGGACGAACAUAGCAACGAGGAACACCUUGACGACUAUAGAGGCUCGGCAUUAAUGAGGUGUUGGCACACCGAUGAUUUUAGGAGUGGUAAUAAUGCCAGCGAGAAUUCUAUCUCUACCUGUGCUGUCUUUCCAGAGCUUGUCUUGCAAGGAGCAAGGCACGUAGGGCCUUCAUAUCUCAAAACACAAUCUCUGGAUGCAUCUUGUCCUCGCAAAGUGAAGCAAGCAAACCCACCUGCACUGCAAUCAAUAAAUAGGGCAGGUUUAUGGAAGCAGAGUCCGCUGUCCAUUUAGAACUACUGCAGAUGGGAAGCUGUAGAAAUGAGGAAGAAGUGAAAGAGAGAGUCCUGUGUCUUUUUGAGUUAGAAGACACCAAUGGUGAUUUCAAGUAAAUGAUAAAGCUAAGAUGCAUAUAUUGUGAGUAAAGCAAAACUAUAAUAGAUUCACAUUUGUUGAAAGAUAUACAAAGCUAAACUCACUCAAAUAUUUUGCACAUCAAUAUGUUUUUUGUUUUUACAUUUACAACUCCAUUUCCAGUUCACUUAGCUUAGCUUGAACAGUUCAGUUCAUCAACAUGAUGUGCAAUGCUUGAAUCAUGUCAUUUUGGGCCAAUUCUUUCAGGAUUCAACAACACUUACAAGGCCUACCAAUUAUAAGCCUAAAAGAAGCCAACAAAUGGGCUUCUUUUCCAUAGGUUUUGUAUAUCUUUCAUUACAAAGUUGGGAAAUAAUUAGCCAACCCAAAUGCAAAGAAAAAAAAAAGGUUGGGAAAAGACAUAUUUUCCCCACCAAAUUUGGGUGGUUUUCUUAUAAAACACUCAUAUUUUGGGCAUUUCUCAAUUAGUAUCUUCUAUUUUUUUUAUUUUAUUUAGUUAAUUAAAAAAAUACGUAAAUUAAUUCUCAAACAAUUAUUAUAAAUGAUCUAAAUAAAUUUUUAAUCUCAACCAAAUUAAUUACAAGUAUAAAAAUAUGAUAUUAUAAUAGUUUAUGAGUAUUCGAUAUGAUGUCACUUAUAGUGUUUUUAAAUAGUGUAUAUAGUAUUUUUAUAUCUCAACAAAAUAUCAUAAAUGAUGUGAUCAUAUUUUUGGAAAAUAAUAAUUUACAUUGAUUUAAAUAAUAAUAAUAAUAUCUUUUCUUUCAUGGUACAUGAGCACACAGGCUGUGCCAAAUGAAUCCUCAAAUCAUCAUUCCCUUUUUUAGCACUAAUCUAAUCUUUCUUGAUGUUGCAACGCGACCUGACCGAGUCCAACAUCUUAUAACGUAAUGCUAAACCGAUCUACGACCUUCCGUUUCGGAUCAAACCGUCCAGAUUCGACCAAGUUUCUCCCGCAGAUCAAAUCCGAAAUCCAACGACAGAGAUCCGAUCACGAGAGUCCGGAUCUGAGGCAACCAUAUCGCCGCAGCCGCCGCCAUCUGUUUCGGGACCAGGAAUCAUAUAUUUGGCCCCACACAUUUUGCGGAACCCUAGGGGCAUUUUGGUAAUCGUGUCCUCCAUAAGUAUAGAUCGCUGGGGCUCCUCUCCCCUCCUCCCACCGCGACGGACGUGGUUGUAGCCGCCGCCGAUCUCUCUCUCUGCCGGACUUCUCUUCUCUGAUCUCUUUGGUAAAAGUUCUUCUGCUCCCCUUAUUUGAUCUCUUGUUGUCGUGCUUGCUAUGUCGAAGAGUCUCUCGUGAUGAUUGUUGUUUGAUUGAUUUCUUUUAAUCUGUCGAGGGUUGUUGUCUAAUUGAUUCAAAGCUUGAUUUUGUUGAUGAUACUUCAGUACGUUUUCUUUGUGUCAGCAGUUUAUUAACCGUGUUAUGUCUAUAGUUCUUGAUGUCGCAUCCUGGCGCUCCACGCGUUAUUGGGUGUUUGCGCAGGGUUUUGUGUCGUUAUCAGAAGAGAGAUCGAUUGCUACAUUGUCAGAUAUUGGUGCUUAGUCUUAGGAGUACAUGAUCCUGUCACAUUAUGUCAAAACAUAUUGAAGAUGGUGAAAACGUAACGUGGUGGUCGUAAUUCGCAUUGAUUUUACUCUUCUGACUGCGAAUUUUGCGUCACUAUGUUGUUGUCGUUGUCAUUAUUAUGUUGAUUUGAGCGAUUUUAAAUUAACAAGCCUAUCGCAUUUUGAGAGGGGCUCUCUGAUUGUCUACUAAAGGUUUUUCCUUGUAUACUGUGCUGGCAUGUAUGGACGACUCAAAAAAGAAAGUGUCCGUUCUUGUUUAUUUAAUAUUUUAUUCUGUAUACCUCUUGAACAAACUGCAUAACAUAUGGCUCUUGUGUAUGCAAUUAAUUUUUGAAUGUCUGAGAUUAGUGUGAUUAAUCUUUCUAUUCAAGACAAUUUCUGAUAAAUCAUAUCAAUUUAUUUGGGAGUGAUUAUAUCACCUUUGCUACAUGGAUUUCCUCCAUGCUUAAAUUUUUGGGUUGUGUUAUAUAUGAUUAGGUCUUAGAUUCAUGUUCAGUAAAAUGAAACAUUUUUCUUUACAAAAAAAACACAAUUAAACAUUGCAGUUGAUUUUCCUACUAGACGUCCUGCAUGGAUUAUUUUCUACUAUGGUGCAUGAAUUAUUUUCUGCUGUAUGAUAUUUGAAUUGUUUUCUUGUUUCUGUUGUGUGAAUUAUAUUUUACUUGGUAAAGUAGCAUCGACUUGUACUAGUUAUGGUGUAUUCAAAUUUAUGGUCGCUAGUGGAUGUGAUGUUGGAUGUCUUAUUCACUAGUUUAUGUUUUUGGUUAAGGGAUCAUGACUUUUAGAGUGCCUGAUGAUUCUUGUGCUUUUUUCUUGUAGCUUGCUAUGUGCAGUCGCAGACUUCAAUAGAACGAUUGUGAACUUUUGGAUAUUUAAAACUGGAGCAUCUUUUUGUUGGUUUUGCAAAUUAUAGCUUGAGUAGCUCUGAUAUUCCUGUUUAAUGCCGAUCUGAUAGAUACAAUUUUACUGUUGGCUAUUCUGCCACAUUAUUUUGGGCAUUUCAACUGUUAUAUCUAGUAUACCACUUUACAUCAAUCAGUCAUUUUAGUCGGAGGUAUUAUGAUGCUUUACAUUAAUACAAACAUACAUUGGAUGUCUUUAUUCACCAAGCCUUUUUUGGGAUAAUGGAGUACACAAGAUAGUGACAUUUUGGUUUUCUAUGCUUCUAGAUAUGUAUCAUUUGAAUUUGUAUUUAUUUUAAUAGCAGCCUUGAGUUUUUGUUGAGAUUGGACUGGGAGCUGCAUACUGAUUUAUACUAUUUAGUUUAUGUUUGCUAUAUACUAUUUCCUCUUCUCUAGUGCUUUCCAAAAUAUAGAAAGCUGAACAAUCUCAAGCGUCAUUUGGACCUGUAUCUAAUUUUAAGGGAACUGCAAAAGUUAAGAGUAGAUAUUUAGAGAUCAUUAGUGGAACUAAAGAUAGAAGUGGUUUUUCAUUUUAUCAUACACUGAUAAAUUUGAUUUUCCCCUGUCAUCACCAUAUUGAUUAUUUGGCCUUUUGCUGCAGCAUUCCAAUUGUCUAGUUAAUUUUUUUCUUUUCAUGGUUAAGAACAUGAUUUAUUGGUUGUCUCAGUCUAUCAUACUUGACUUUAUUUUGGACUUCUGAUCUCUAUAAAGUUUUUUUUAAUCUUAUUCUUUUAUAGCAGUUUUUUUUUCCUAUUUUUGUAAUGCUGUCAGAAACAUCCUACGUUUUCGUAUUUGCUACUAUGAUAAGCUUGCUGAUUUAUGUCUAUUGGAGAUAGGAAAUUAGAAAUGGGAAAGGAGAAGGUUCACAUUAACAUCGUGGUUAUUGGCCAUGUCGACUCUGGAAAAUCAACCACAACUGGACAUUUGAUUUACAAACUUGGAGGGAUUGAUAAGCGUGUUAUUGAGAGGUUUGAGAAGGAAGCUGCUGAGAUGAACAAGAGGUCAUUCAAGUAUGCCUGGGUUCUUGACAAGUUAAAGGCUGAGCGUGAGCGUGGUAUCACUAUUGAUAUUGCCCUUUGGAAGUUUGAGACUACAAAGUACUACUGCACCGUCAUUGAUGCUCCUGGACAUCGUGAUUUCAUCAAGAACAUGAUUACUGGAACUUCUCAGGCUGAUUGUGCUGUCCUUAUUAUUGAUUCUACAACUGGUGGUUUCGAAGCUGGAAUUUCCAAGGAUGGACAGACUCGUGAACAUGCACUUCUAGCUUUCACUCUUGGUGUUAAACAGAUGAUUUGUUGCUGCAACAAGGUGGGAUUUUUUGCAUGAUUGCUUCUUAAGGUGCAUGACUUUGGUCUUCAGGUAAUUUUUUUUACUAAACAUAUGUUUUGUUUCUAAUAGAUGGAUGCCACUACACCUAAAUACUCAAAGGCACGGUAUGAUGAAAUCAUCAAGGAGGUCUCAUCUUAUCUCAAGAAGGUUGGUUACAAUCCUGACAAGAUCCCAUUCGUGCCAAUUUCUGGUUUCGAAGGUGAUAAUAUGAUUGAGAGAUCCACCAAUCUUGACUGGUACAAAGGCCCAACUCUUUUGGAUGCUCUUGACAUGAUCCAAGAGCCCAAACGUCCGUCCGACAAGCCUCUCCGGCUCCCUCUGCAGGAUGUCUACAAGAUUGGAGGGAUUGGAACCGUGCCUGUAGGUCGUGUUGAGACUGGAACCUUAAAGCCUGGUAUGGUUGUUACCUUUGGUCCUACAGGCCUUACUACUGAAGUUAAGUCUGUGGAAAUGCACCAUGAGGCUCUCCAGGAGGCUCUUCCUGGUGACAAUGUUGGUUUCAAUGUCAAGAACGUUGCUGUGAAGGACCUCAAGCGUGGUUUUGUUGCCUCAAACUCCAAGGACGACCCGGCAAAGGAGGCUGCCAACUUCACCUCGCAAGUUAUCAUCAUGAACCAUCCAGGUCAAAUUGGGAACGGUUAUGCUCCUGUCCUCGAUUGUCACACCUCCCACAUUGCUGUCAAGUUUGCAGAGCUUGUGACUAAGAUUGACAGGCGAUCCGGCAAGGAGCUGGAGAAGGAACCCAAGUUCCUCAAGAAUGGAGAUGCAGGUUUCGUGAAGAUGGUUCCUACAAAGCCAAUGGUUGUCGAGACUUUUUCUACCUACCCACCUCUGGGUAGGUUUGCUGUCAGAGACAUGAGACAGACAGUUGCUGUUGGUGUCAUCAAGAGUGUGGAGAAGAAGGAUCCUACUGGAGCCAAGGUUACCAAAGCUGCUCAAAAGAAGAAAUGAACCGAGGAGAAUUCUGCAUUGGUCUUGUUUGGUGUCAGCAACAAUUUUAAUAUGCAUCCUUCUUGUCAGCUUUACGAGUCUAUAGGUUUGGUAUCUGGUGCGUCGAUGCAGAACUGGGUGCUCGAUAGGCGGUGGCAGUGUUGCAUUUAAGGUGCCUGUUCUAGCAAGUUUUUUUUUCCUUUUUUGAGCGGUCUCUCUCUAUAUUUUAAACUGGUACUUGAAGCGAAUUUGAGUUGUUUGGAUUCGACAAUAGUGGGUCUAGUUUGAUUCUGGUAUUUGACUUUAUAAAUCAGUACUUGGAUUUAUUAUAUUUGUUCAUCGAAUCUUGAUAAUUGCUCUAUGAAGUUUGUUUCUUUAUCUCGGCUGUUGUAUGAUCCUGGUAUUUUAUGUACGUUCGACAUUAUGGAUAUACCUCCAAAAUCUUGGAAUCGGAAUCUGAAUCUGAGUUAGAAUCGGAAUCAUCCGUUUUGAUUUUUAUAAAUCAAGAUUCAUAAUCCAACCGACCGGAUUUGGCCACUGGAUCGGUUCUCAUUUCAAUCUUAAUCCUCCAUCUGUUCUAAAUAUAAUAAUAUAAUAAAUAACUAAUUAAUCUAAAUGGACGGGUUCAGCCGCGACCCUUUUUACCGUGGAUCGCACGGUAAGAAUUUGCACUGGGGGACUUCCCAUGCCGUACCCAUUGGCACAGGAAUGAAGACGUUGUCCGUCUUCCAUGUCCUCUAUUGGGACGUGGGGUUCUCUGAUAUGUCGCAUGCAUGUCUUCGUUGGUGCAAUCAGCAAGGGGACCUCGAGAGCCACUUGUUCCAUGCCAGAUCAUCGUAUAUUGGUAAGAUCCUCGACAUCUGUCUCGCAUGCAUGCCUCCUUCAUAACUCGUUUGGCCAUACGCACCCCCAACCGAUCCGUUUACGCUACGGGCAAACAUCAACAAAUAUUGGCUUUCAGAUUCCAAUCCGUCCAGCAAUGGCACGUAUUCUGCAUCGUAUUCCUUAAACAAAUCCAUGGUGACCUUUGGGCUGUCCAAAGGAUGAGUUCUCUUGUCAGUUCAUGUCGGAACCGCCUUUAUAUGAUUUACCUUAUCGCGGACUGCACUCCAGAGGCAUCUUCACGGUGACCUUCUAUGGUGGUGCAAUGGAUCCCUCGGCUCCACCAAAUCAUGGUCCAACUGCUGCCACCACCCAAAUCGAAGAGGCUGUUGUCGUCGUUCUCGCCGAGGAGGAGGACGACGACGAUGGUAAUGGCAGCGAGAAUGAAGGAAUCAUCGAUGUGGCCGAGGUCGAGAAGCGGAUGUGGAAGGACAAGCUGCUGCUGACGAAGCUGAAGCAGCGGAGGGGGCAGCAGCAAGGCGGCUUCUCCGGUGCUCUGGUGGAGCCCCUGGCUAAGGAGCGGUCGCGGCGGCGGGCGAUGGCCCGAGCCCAGGACGGGGUCCUGCGGUGCAUGCUCAAGAUGAUGCAACACUGCAGCGCCCGUGGGUUCGUGUACGGUAUCGUGCCGGAGCGGGGGGACCCGGUGACAGGGUCGUCGGAGAACCUCAAGUCCUGGUGGAAAGACUCCGUCGCGUUCGACCGCAAUGCCCCGGCGGCCAUCGCCCAGUCCACGCUCGCCCAACCGAACGAACUGGUUCUGACCUCUUACAUCGAUCGCCUGCGUAUGUUACAGGACAGCACGCUCGGCUCGCUCCUCUCCGCGCUCAUCCAGCACUGCGAACCGCCGCAGCGGAGGUUCCCCUUGGAGAGGGGGCUGCCGCCUCCCUGGUGGCCGACCGGGGAGGAGCCAUGGUGGGGGGUGCAAGGCGAGGCCCACGCUCAGGGGCCUCCGCCCUACAGGAAGCCGCAUGACCUCAAGAAAGCUUGGAAGCUGAGCCUACUGACCGCCGUCAUCAAGCACAUGAGUCCAAACCUGGGCCACAUGAGGAAUCUGGUCUGGCAGUCGAAGAGGUUGCAGAACAAGAUGACCGCCAAGGAGAGCGAGGUGUGGUCGAAGAUGGUGAACCAGGAAGAAGCUCUCCUGCAGCUUGCCAACCGCUCCCUCAGGAUCUCCCCCAUUCCCGAAGAUGAAGCGGCCGGCAAUUCUGCGGCCGAGAAGGGCCCGGACGGCCGCAGGAACGACGACAAGAGGAAGUGCGAGUUCGGCGACAACUCGAGGGAGAAAUGCUCGAGAGCCGAGUUGCAGAACGUGGAUGGUAGUGGGGAGUUUGAACUCGAUUUAUCGGGGAAUUGUGUGCUCGAAGAUGAUCGGAGAGCGAUCGACGAGCUCAUGAUGCUCUACUACAGCGCUCGAGACUUCACUCGGCUAGUGUGAUGGCAGAGCUGGUGGGAUGAGUGAGAUCGAGCAUCGCGUGGCGUGACUAAUGUGGCGAAUGAAAUGAAAGAUGAGAAGCAUUCGCGUGCCAGUAGUAAUCCUUUUCUUCCUGUUUUUGCUUAUAAAAAUAGCUUCUCGCCAUCUUGUAGAACUAUUCUAGUGUUUGCACUAUGUAUGUAUAUAUGUAUGUAUGUAUGUAUGUAUAAAGAGUUUGCAUGAAAAUAUCAGGUAGUCAACUGCUUAAAGAUCUUACUAUGCAUCAAGGAAAGCAUGCGUGUGCAUACGUAUGGACGAUCACACGCCCAGUGCUCCAAGUGGAGUCUUGCUUUGGCCAGCCUCGAAGUAGAAGACGAGCAUGGCAAGCAUAGCAAUCCGUGCGUGCUUGAUCUCCGCCACCUUGAGCCGCUCGUGCUUCUCGACGUCCGGCACGUACACGCCGUCCCUGAGCGUGCCGGCGAAGCACAGGGGGUCGAAGAACUUGCCCCCCGGGUAGCCCUGCUCGCCGGUGGCGUUGGCAAAGUUCUCGGCCGUGCGAUACCAAGGGGUAGCCCAUUCCACCGACUGCGACUCCAGGUUGAAGAAGUCCACCCACCGCUUCGACUCCACCCGUCCCAUGAAGAUGAGCUGCAUGCCGAGGAGGGAGCCGAAGGAGAAGGGCGCGAUGGCGCCGAGGUCGGCACCCGCCUCGAACCAAGGCACGCCGCUCCACGCCUGCCCGAUGAAGAUACCCACCACCGCCGCCAUCGCUCUCGGUACCACUUGAGGAACGCUGGGUCCUUCCCCAGGCCUAGUGGGUCUAACCCAUAGUCACCCGGCAGCCUGCAUGGGGAAACAAGACGGUGUGAAGAGGGGAAUAGAGAGGUUGCAUGUCGAGUGAUUGAAGAGGAGGAAGGGGCUUACGAUCCAUAUGAUUUACGUUUAAGGCAUGUUAAUCAUGCAAUAUUUGGUCAAUCUGCUUGCAUUUCUUUUCUGAGAUGAGUUACACCACUAAGGAGUAUGUUUCAUUGGAGAUCUCAGCGCAUGCAAUUAAUAUCCAUUGAUAUCAUGUAUCAAGAAUUGUUUUCCUCACCAAACUUGUAUUCUUGAAAAGAUAGUAAAACAAGAACGAUGAACAGUCAACAACCAAAUCUCCGCCGGUAAAAGAGAAUUUUCUGAAUGAAACCUUUUCUUUGAUGAGAAAUUGGUGCUCCAUAAUGUCCCUGAAAUGUGUAACAUGUUGUUUCUUUCCAGGCAAGAACACAAGCAGCUAUCAGUUUUGGAUAGGAUAGAAUAAAGUCAUCUUUGGUACUCUUCCACAUUAGAUGUAGGAAGAACAAUCAAGUCAUCUUUCAUUACCAGGAUAGGUCUCUACCGGGAUGAACCUCAUGUGCAUCAGACACUCACACAGCGUGUCUACAAAGGAGAAAACAGAACACAUAAUCCUCGUCGAUGUAAGUAAAACUUCUCUGCGGUGGUUCGUCCAUGGUUGAUGAUGAAAUAGAAUGGUGCUCACGCAAUCUCUCUCAACAUUCAAAGAGUAGAGUCGCCUGAGUUCUGCAACAGUCCGGGAAACACAAGUGUGAUCUGAGGACCACAUCACAAUCAUUUUGGAGGUAGCACUAAAAGAUCCUUACACCUUCUCUUUUAAGCUUCGCAUCUUUGCCUGUCAUUCUGUUUACUCGGGCCCAAGAGUUUGAUUCCUCUCGAUCAGCACAUGCCCUACUGUUGGGUGCCAGGAAUGGAAUUUAUUCUCCAUGUAAAGAGGAAAGCCCAAAGCUCCAUGGUUUCUGCACUUCAAUCACCCAUGAAGUAUAUUUCUUCUGUAGCACAACCCAUAAAGUUUCCACCUUAACAAUGUCGUCGCUUUGGAGCGUUGAAUCAGUACUGUUCUUCCGUCCGGUUUUCAAAUUUACCUACAAGUUGGCUUGAUAAAAAGUGUCAUCGUUCAUUGUUACUACAGUCAUUCUGGCAACAAUGAUUUCUGAUGGUCACUUUGUUGUUGUCUUCUUGAUCAUGAAAAGCACUCUUUUUUGAGAGAAGAUAUGUCGAAUGCCUCUUAUAAUGGUUAUGAAACUUAUAGCCACAAGAAAGGCUAUUAUGCCUUCAUCUCACUCGAGUUGUGUUAGUGGGUAAGCAAAAGAUGAGCCUUUUAUGUCCUUAAAUCUCCUCGCUCGCACUUCCAUCCCUCUCUAUGCUUGCGCUUGUUCAGAAGAAGGCAGCAGUAUUCAUGAUUCGUAUGGCCCCUGUAGCGAUCAUUUGCAAGCGAGCAUGGCUUCAGUUACAGAGAUAGAUGCCCAUAAAGACUUGAACCUCAUCUCAUCGCUAACUGGUUUCACAAGUGAGAUUUGGCUUACAUAUAAUAAUACUAUAUGACUCCACAUUCAUACUACUUGAUAACACCCACUCCCAUGCAAAGCCACAGAGAAGAAAGAACAUCACCCUCAUUCUACUUAGAAACAUAUAGAUCUGAGUUUCUUCACAUGAUGGAGCAGGCAUUUGGAUUGUCAUCACUGAACAAGUUGGUAAGCAGGUCAUCUUGUCUGAGUGGUUGGCUGGACACAGUGACCACCUCCACAUUCCUGACAUACCCGGGGGGUGCCUUCUUGUCAUAGAUCUGAGCACCGUGAGGGUGAGUGACAAGGUUGUAGGGAACAUAAGGCCAGAUCUCAACUCUCUUGCCCGUGGAUCGAACCUUCUUCAGGACUUUGUGUUGCUCGACGUAGCCAGUCACAGUCACUUUAUUCUGCUUUCUGUUGAUGUCCACCGACUGAACUCCUAUAACAAGGCCAUGAGGUGUGGAUCAGGAGAAGACGAGUGUCAAGCCAUCGGUAUGGGAGAAGAAGAGGACUUUCACCUGUGACGGAGGAGAUGGCAUUCCUGACUUUGAGUUCACAGCCCUCGCAGUCCAUCCUGACCUUGAGCUCCACCGUCUGCAACUGCUUCCUGUUUGCGUACUGGUGGCCGCCACACAGGAAGCCACAGAUGUAAUCUCCCAUGAUGCUUGCUUCCGGCUGAUAACGAGGUAGAAAGAGGAGACGGAUACAAUAUAACCCGUAACAAGAUAGUUUCGAAGUACGAGAGGGAAGGAAGAGAAACAAAAGACGGAAGUGAGACUGUGACCGACGUUGCUGCCACUGAAGCAGCAGCCUCCUGGAAGAUGAAGAAAAGGUGUUUGUUUAGCUGCUUUAGCUCACUGGCAUUGCUCUUUUGUUCUCUCAUUCAGUGUUCCAUAAAGGCUCUCCGACCGUGCUUAUAUAGACGACCUUCGCAGCACAUGCACUCAACUCCCAAAGUUCCAAAAGGGAGCGGAGAAGGGGGGGGGAGAAAGAAAAAAGAAAGGUGCAGAAAAGAGCAGCACUGUUACAGGGAAAAAGCCUCAGAAUAACACAGGCUGUUGUUGUUGGUAAGAGGCGAGCAAGUCCCCGAACUGCAAGCAGCCAUUGGGAGGAACAUUUGGAAGAAUCUAAUGAUCAAGGAAGGUAGUGUAGAUGGAUGAACCACCAGCGAGCGAAACCCACAACUUGUACUGAGAUUUUGGGUCUAUUUUGGGAUGACUCCAAACCCCAAAAUAGACCCAAAAUAUAUAAGAUGACUCCAAACCCCAACUAUAUAAGAUGACUCCAAACCCCAAAAUAGACCCAAAAUAUCAACAGCCUUCCCAAUCGAGCCCAUCUUCGCUCAGCGUCCGCUGCUAACUAGUCGAACGAAUGUCGUGGCUUCCUAGUCGAGCCCUUCUUCUUCCCUCCCUUCGCUAUAGCCAUUGCACUUCCCCUGUGAGUCAUCUUCACCUCCUCUGCUCUCACUACAAACAUAGCUGCAUAGAGGAUAGGGUUUUUAGCAAGGACCCUCGAUGCUCCCAUAACCUUCUUCUUCCCCGCUAGCUAGCGCACCACCCCUCAUCGCCCCCGGCCAGGAUCGCUAACGCCCAUCCCAAUCACGUGGUUGUUAGCAUCCCAUAUCGUCGCAACCGCACAAUCACCUCCCAACAACUACAGCGAGCCAUCAACGAUGCUACCUCCCAGCCCACAUCAUUGCCUCCCAACCCUCAGUAGUAACGAUCCCUCCACACUGCGACUGUAGUGAGUAUCGUUGCCACCGUCAAAGCUCGCCAACCCUGUACUAUGACAGCUACAAUCUCAUUUGUAUGUUUACAUGAGAAAAAAAUCAGUAGGGAGAAUCGUCGAAUAUAAAUGAUAACAAAUAGAUGAUCAAUAAACCACCCGCCUCAUCUAUUCUCAAUCAAAACCCUAACAUCCGAAGACUAAUCCAAGAAAAACACAAGAAAAGAUUAGUGAAGGAUUUGUGCUGACACUAUAAUGAAAAGUGGAGUAAGGAGCACCAAUGCAAACAAUGACAACUUCAGGCUUAGACCAUAAUUUCAAUACAAAUGCAUUUAAUGAUAUCCAUGAUUCUGUCCUUAUCCAUACUCUAUUUUAAUAUAUCCCAAUCAUUUAAAUGACAAUUCAGCUAUGACAAUUAACCAAAAGAAUAACAUAAAAGCUCGAGAAUGAAUGAUUUUGACUGCCUUUCUUAAGUAAUGACUCGUACCCGUUCACAUUGGUACGAAAAAUUCGACGACGUUCGUGGCACAAAAAGAUGUUUUACUCUUAAGAAGUUCCUUAUGGAGAAUUUAAAUUGUCACAAAUUUAAGAUGAUUUAAUAGCGCAAUCAGUAAAAUUUGUUGUAAAAUAAAUAAAUAAAUAAAUAAAAGAAUCUCAAAAUCAUCAUGAAUGUUCUACAACAAGAAACUCCUGGAGAAUUUAUAAUGUCACAAAAUUUGAGAUGAUUAAAUAGUGCAGUCAGUAUGAACUUGAUCAUUUUAAAUUAAAAUUUAAAUUUCAAGUAACAACGUGUGGCAUUCCCUGCACAGCGGCAACAUAGGAAUCAUAGAGAGAAGUAAAUUUCUCCUUGUGCCGGAAAAGAUAUUUCUUUCUGAACUUCUCCUCAGAUAGUAGUAUGAAGGAUAGUAGACUAUGUCCUUCAUCCAGCAAUUUAUUCUGCUUAAGAAAAUUCAUAACCUCAUAUCGAGGUCUCAGCCUCUUAUCCAAACUGAGUGUAAGAAUCACGGGACGACGAAUGACAGAUGUCAGCUCAAAACCAGCUUCCUUCAUCAGGAAUGUCAUCUUGUCACAUAUGGUCUUCUUUGAGAGUGCCCAAAUGUAUGGGCACUUCCUGAAUGCAGCAACGAUGUCAGGCUGGGAACACCCAAAGCUCAUCAGAGUCGCACUGAUAGCAUCAAAACUAGAUUUGUUCACGCUCAUGACUACACGAAGUGCACACAUAUAUACUCCAGAGUCACGUGGGACACCCAAUUCCUCAAUAUAUUUGAUAACCUCCUUUAAUUUGUCUAGUCGACCAAAACAGCCUGGCAAUGUCGCCACCAUAUGCAUGAUACGCUUGUCACUGAUGCCAUGUUCCCUCAAGAGAGAUAUAUUGGGUUCUAUCGUCCGAGCCAAGCUAUAACUAAGAAUAAACAUGUUCCUCUUGCAGGCUUUCAGAAGCCUCUCAUUCGAACCUAAUAGUGACCUCCAGAAGUUGAUCCUCGGUUUGAUGUCACGAAAUAGGAGCGCAUGAGGACAUAAUGAAACCAGCUGAACUAUUUCAGUGUCAGAAAAUCCCAUGUCCUGCAAAGAUCUCAUCCUGGGCUUCAGGGCAGUCUCUACAUUAGCAUGCAGCAACUGGGGUGACCUCUUGGUAAGCUUCAUAACUUGUGCAUCACUCCAACCGCUCUGCUUAAAGAACUCAAUGGAAGGACUUGAACUUGGAAGUUUUUUUUCACAGAUGCGACCCUCGGCCAUUUUUGCAGCCUCUUUUGAGGAAAGUUCACAUGACUGAAGGGGUUCGACCAACAUAAAUUUGGAUCUAUGAUUUGAACUGUGGUCUUCGGGAGUGGAAAAGCUAAAGAGACUGCAGAGUUGAUAGGAGGAAAGAUGGAUGGUGGGCUUGUUACACGAGAGAAGGCAAAAAAGCCUCUUCUGCACCAAAAACAUUGUCUUUUGAGGCAGUAUCACGUACUGUUUGCAGAAAAAUACAAGAAAAGUAGUCUUAUUUCGGCCCUCUCCAAUCCAAAUUCCUCCUCUGCCUCAAAUCAAGGAUGUUGAAAACUUUCAACUAAUCAUCUGUCUCAGACAACAUUCCUCCACCACUCAUGUUAAUCCACAUGCAUUCAGUUCCAAUCAGCCAUUUCUUUCAGAGAUAAGUCUCUGAAUGGUGUUUGCGAGUUGACAAAGAGUACCUAUGAUUAGUUACCCAUUCUCAUGCUCACAUCCAAGCAAUUCUCCACCACUGAAAUAAUGGCUUCAAAUAACACCUGCGCACUGACACUAAAUUCCACUUAUUUUUCUAUUGUAGUUGGUGGGUUUAGACACUACCAAGCGUCCUAUAUCCCUGUAGCAAAUUAAAAACCAUAUAAAUAGUAUUUUCAUCAAAUAUAUAAGAGUAUACUCAUGUUUAUACUAAUAGGUUGAACAUCAAUAACUUGCAAAGGGUACUACAGAAUUCAGAAUAACUGGAAUAUUAAUAAUGUUUUCUCUAACAUCGGAUUCACUAAUGUCCGACGACUAAAACCUGAAACAUUUCAAAUCAGCACUUCCAGAGUAAUUGAUCCAUUUCAUCAAGAAUGCCAAGAGAUGAUCUAGUUAUAAGUCUAGCAAAACUGGUAAGUAGAAAAGACACUGUUUAAUUAAUCAAUAACAGUAAUUUGUGAGGUUCAACAUGCUAAAAAAUGCAUUGCUGAUGAAGAUGUGCAACUCGACAAAAGAAAACAACAUAGCUGGAAGACCAGAGAAAGGCAAUAAAUUUUCUGAAAAAUGAAUAAAGGGAUAAGAAAACAGCCUCAAUCAAGAAAUGCUACAGUUUAUUUGGCUCUAUGCUGAUAAAGGAACUUAAUUUAUCAGAAACAUGCUCAUGUAAACAACUUCAACUACAGUAAAAACAUUAUAUGUAGCCUCUGCUACAUAUCAUAAAUGAAGAGAAAAAGCCAAGAUCAGUGAGUUGCCAAUAAAACCAGCACGUACAAACAACCACAAGAAUUACAAAAGCCAUGAUGUCCAAACUAUUCACGGUCAGCCAUAUGGAUCUUUUGCAUCAUUGAACUCUGUGUAAGAAAAUAUCUGUAGUUAAAUUAAGAGCAUUCAAAUCUCUUUCUAUUGUUACCAGUAAAGUCCCCUUCAAAUCUCCAACUAAACCAGCAAAUACAAGAUUUGACAAUUCAAAUGUAAGCAGGCCUGUGUGUUUUGAGGCACGAACAAGUCUCAAGUAGUGAAGAUAGUUGCUUUCAGCACUACAGCAGAGAACACACUAUGUUGACAUAAAGGUGUAAGGUUAUACCUAACCAAAUACAUUGAGAUUUUGGGUCUAUUUUGGGGUUUGGAGAUCACAUCAAAUUCUAGUUGUUUACUCAGCUUGUACCUUAGUGUGAGUCAGGUCCUUUGGAGCAUUUGGGGUUUUGUGUUGAAAUUUUCCGGUAUGGCCUGUAAAGACAAAGCAGUGGACAGUAUAAGAAAACUAAGAGGCUUGAUGAACCAAACACUUCAUCAAAAUAAGCAGUUGCUGUUGAGAGAGCUUCUUUUGGGAAACCUGGUAAGAUUAGUACUACUGAGAUGUAUUUUGUAUUAUAAUGCUUCACAUGAGGAAUAGUCAGGCUAGUGUAUGAUUCUAUUAACAAAUAAGUAUAGUUUUCUUUGACCAGUGACCCAAUUAUUGGCUCUGCUAUCUCUUGUUCUAUCUUUUCCAUGCGUUUUAUUUUUUUAGGACUUCCCCAGUUCUCUUUGCUCUAUCUAAAAGCAGCACUUUUGCUGUCUAGCUUAACAACAGUAUUUAACUUGCAUUCUGCAACUUCUUAUUUCUUUAAAGUAAAUGCGCAUGCAUACACGAUAUGCAUGCAUUUUUGCAACAUUGAACAUUUGAGAUUGAUAAAAUUUAUAUUAUUAGGUCAGUUCUAAACCAACUCAUAUCCGAGGGCUGGAAAUUAAUUGUCACUUGCCACUAAAUACACAUCUUUGGAAAUGUUUUAAUAUAAGAAAAUUUAUAAGACUGAGCACCAUGUUUGACCACAGUAUCUAGAUAACGAUCAAGUUAAGCGAAUUUAGAUAAAUAUUAGCCAAAAUUAUUUUUUAUGACCUCCAGUAUAAGUUACAAUGAUUGUGGACACUCUUAAUGAGUCUAACUUUGCCAAUAGAGAAGUAAGAGGCUGCUUCUUACGGAUCAUACCAGUACGAUCCAACAAGUACUGGGUAAGUCAGGAUUCAGAGCAAAGUCCAAAAAAGGUUUGCCAAAUUUAGAAUUCCAAAUUCGUAUAUUUUGUGAAUAUGGUUCCUUAUAUUUAGUCCAAAGUUUAAGGUUAGUCCACUUAUGGAUAUGCACUAUAUACAUCGCAGAUUUUACCCUUAUGCCUACUACAGAUUUCGAUUUGUAAUUUUAUGAUUUAUAUUUUUAUCGUAUGUAAAUUAGUCAGGGAUUGAUAUAUAUAAGGAUUUACUAAAAACAAGGGGAAAGAAAUGUCAGGAACAGUUAUGGAAACUACUUGCAGUUUUAAAACGCAUUUAUUGUGCUGUAAUGGUUCAAAAAGUCAUAACUCUUAGGAUAACUGAAAGGAUGUUUUAGCAUCCUUUCAAUGUCUAAAUAAACUCCGCUAUAUUGAAGAGUAAAGCAAUAAGAAAAUUCUAGUGCAAACAAAGCACUGAAUUCUACCGUUCUGUUUAUUUUCUAGUUGAGUUUUGAUUCUUCAAGUAAUCAAGAAGUGCAAUCUUGAUUAUUUCAGGUAAUAGGCAUUGUAUCCUUAGAGAUAGAAUUUCUGUGAAGCCAUCUGCAUUGUAGUGGGAAAAUUAUCUAUCUCGAAGAUAGUUUCCUAGAAAUGCCUUGCCUAAUUUUGUUUUGUUCAAGUUUUACUCAGAGCUAUAUUUCUACUACAACAACUGUACCAAUGUUCAAGAACAAAACAAGAUAAUUCAUGUCAUAGGAAAUUUGAAAUGUCAGAUAAAAUUAUUUUGAAUACCAAAAUGACUAAUGUUUCAACAAUGUAAAAAUGAAACCACAGUUUAUUAUGACUGCCAAGGCACAUAUCUACCAUCUCAUUGCGAAGAAAUGAAAAUGAGAAAAAAGGCACAGCAAAAUAUAAAAUCACGUCUAUGGAUGAAGAAAUCCAUAGCCAUGCGCAACAAAAAAGAACUAAGAGCUUCGAUGUAAUGAGCAGAGCAUGAAGAUACAGUGACAGCUCCUAAUAGCUUCUAGUACCUAAGUGCCCUCUCCAAAUCCCAUUAAUGAUGGCACCCCUUAGCCUCAAAAUUGAAUAUAUAAAUGCAUUCUCUAUGUGUAAUUAGUAAAUACGUGUGAAAAGGGGUCCAACAUUUCAUUACUGUGGUUCAAAGCAAGACGCCAGAACCAGCAUGCAUGUGACGAAGUUAUCCCAAGGGCAAAAAAUAGACAAGAAACAUGAGCUAUGCUCCCAUGUGUGGUUCCAUCUGAUGACUAAAGUAUGCAUAUUAUUAUGUCUAAGCAACAAAUAGGUAUCGAUUCAUAUUACAAAAUUAUUUGAUGUUCAUAACCGUUUGAGAACCGACUUAUGCGGCAAGCAACAAGAAAUUAAUAAAGGAUCAAAAGAUUAAAUAAAAUAGCAUGUAUUCCAAUGUGUAUAGGCACGGUCAGAUAUUAUGCAUCAGGGACUCAUUACAAAUUACCCCACGUAGUUAGCUACCUUUAGCAUCCUCGUCCCUACAUUUUAAAAGGUUAUAUUGGCAUCCCUAUAAUUACGAAAGUGAAACAUUUAAGCCCAUUUACCAUUACAACAUCGGUUUUCCUAACGAAAAUACGAAAACAAAAGGCAAAAAGAUUAUUUUAACAUUCCAAUUUGUAGCGGCAAACAACGUUGGUGGUGCCAGAUGACAGCGCCGCUGGGUGCCACGGGUGACUAUUAUGGAUGAGGAGAGCAGCAACGAGAGGUAAAGGCCGCUCUACAUCUGAUGUAGUUGUCGAUUGACGAGAGGGCCAUUGAUGCAAAUGUCGAGCGGCGCCGCUUAGCGUCAACAUCGACGCAGUUGCCGAGCGGCACCCUUCGACAUUUAUAUCGACCCUUUCAUCGCUCAACAACUACAUCGACGCAGAUGCAGAUGCAUCUAAAUCAGCGUCGAUGUAGUUGUCGAGCGACGAGAGGGCUACUGAUGCAAAUGUCAGGCGGCACUGCUCAACGUCGACAUUGAUGCAGUUGUCGAGCGACACCCUUUGACGCCGAUGUAGAUGCAAAGCGGCUAUUACCUCUCGCCGUCGCACUCCUUACCUACAACAGCCACCCACGGCCCUAGUGACACCGUCGUCCACAACCACCGACUUUAUCGGCUACAACUAAAUGAAAUAUUAAAAUUAUCUUUUUGCCUUUUAUUUUCAUAUUUUUGUUGGUAAAAAUGACAAGUUAGAGUAAAUAAACCUAGAUAUUGUACUUUUGUAACACUAGGGAUGCCAAUGUAAUUUUUUAAAAUGUAGGGAGCAGGAUGUUAAACCUAGAUAUUGCACUUACGCAAGAUAGGGAGUAGGAACUGAGGAUGCCUAGGUCUCUCCAAUAGGAGAGGGGAAGAAACAUUGCAAAGGAGGUGAGUCACACGAGGGUGGGGAUCAAAUUGCUUGUCUUAAUGGACCCAACAGGGGUUCAAUUUAGGUGCAACACCACUCGGGCGUGUGAGUGGGCUGCCCAGCGCCCAACCGGUGCUCACCUAAGCGUCGCACGAGUGAAAACGCCCGCGUGAUGUGCACGACAUGGUGCUCAGGCAUCGCCUCACCCGAGCGAUUAGGCAAGAGCCAAGCACCUAGUGUUUAGGUUAGAUAGAACUAAGGAGAUCUAACUUGAAUCUCACGACAUUUAAAAAAUAGAUAUACAACCAAUGUAGCUCAUAUUCAAUAAUCUUUCUGGGCCUAUGAUGAAUUUGGUUCAGAUCAGUGAGAAUAUGCCAAUAAAACCAACAAGUACAAACGACCACAAUGGUAACAAAAGCCAUGAGGUCCAAACUAUUUAUCAUCAUCCAUAUGGAUCUUUUGUAUCUUUGAACUCUGUGUAAGAAAAUAUCUGUAGUUAAAUUAAGAGCAUUAAAAUAUCUUUCUAUCGUUACCAGUAAAAUCUCCUUCAAUCACCAACAAAACCAGCGAAUACAAGAUUUGACAAUCCAAAUAUAAGCAUGACUGUGUGUUUUGAGGUAUGAACAAGCCUCAAGUAACGAAGAUAGCUGCUUUCAGCACUACGGCAGAGAACAAACUAUGCUGACAUAAAGGUGUAAGUUUAUACCUGACCAAAUACAUUGAGAUUUUAGGGUUUGGAAAUCAAGUCAAAAUCUAGUUGUUUACUCAAGUUGUGCUUUAGGGUGAGUCGAGUCCUUUGUAUCAUUUGGGGUUUUGUGUUGUUCUGGUGUGCUUGAAAAGGAAACUACAAUGCAGUAAACAUGAUAAGAAAACUAAGAGGUUUGAUGAACCAAACACUUCAUCAAAAUAAAUAGUUGCUGUUGAGAUAGUUUCUUUUGGGAAACCUAGUUAGAUUAGUAUUAUCUUAGGUAUAUUUUUAAUUAAAAUGCUUCACAUGAGGAAUAGUCAGACUUUUGCAUGUUUCUAUUGACAAAUGAUUAUGAUUUUCUUUGCACAGUGACCCGAUUAUUGUCUCUGCUAUCUCUUUUUCUAACCUUUCCAUGCUUUUUUGUCACUAAGACUUCCCCAAUCCUCUUUGCUCUCUCUAAAAGCAUCACUUCUCCUGCCGUCUAUCUUAACAACAGUAUUCAACUUGCAUACAGUGACAUGCUAUUUCUUUAAAGUAAAUGCUUAUGACAUGCUGCUGACUGCUUGUUGUGAGGGUAGCGGGUAACUAUCAGGGAGUAGGAAAGGGAAGGGGAAGAUGUAUAGAGAAGGUGAAGAGGAGUGUAGACGAGGGAGAUGGGGGCUGUCGGGGCUGGAGUAGGAAAAUGGAGAUGGGGGCUGUCGGGGCCGGAGCAGGAUAAUGGAGAGGGGGCUGUCGAGCCCGGAGUAGGAAAAUGGAGAGGGGGCUAUUGGGGUCGGAGGAUGGUGAAGGUGGCUGCCGGGGUCGACGGGGGACGGGGGCUGUGAUGAAGUGGAGGAGGUGGGAGGGACCAAGGAAGAGGGGCGGGGGGCUGCGAUGAACGGGGGAAAGAGGGAGGAGAGAGGAGAAGGGAGGAGGAGGAUGAUGUCGGGGAAGCGGGAGAGCUGUGGCGAAAGUGGGAAGGGGAAGGAGGGAUCGGGGAAAGGUGGCUGCGAUGAAGGGGGGGAGAGGGAGGAGGAGGGAGGAGAAGGGAUUGUGCGACGGCGAAGGAGGAAGAGGAGGAGGAGGAGGAGUAAGAGAGAGAUACCGGGUGCUGUCACCGUUCGCCGACGGAGAGGAAGCCGCAGCAUCCACCGUUCGCCGACGGAGAGGAAGCCGCAGCAUCCACCGUUCGCCGAGGAAAACGCCGCAGCGAUAAGAGCUCGACGGAGGAAAAUGCCGCCGCCGCUGCCGGCUCUCGCCAAGGUACACGCCGCAGUCGCGGUCGCUGUGGAGAAGGAGACAGCUUCACCACUGCAUUUAGGGCUCGGGUGCGAAUUUGAGGAUGCCGUUCUCAUCUGGUUCGAUCGAACCAGAAAUAAGUUACAUUAUAAUUUUAUUCGGCUCCUUUGGAUCACUCGAUGUUUUGAUGAUUGUUGAAACAUCAACUUAUUUGGUUACGUGGUCGAUUGAUCCUUUACCAACAAGUGUAAUAAUGUUACUGCACAACUAAGAUAAGAUCAAUUAACAAUAGGCAAGAAAUAAGAGUUCUUUUGACUCCCCUAAAAAUAAUAAAUAAGUCUAUACAUAUCUUAGUUGGCAUCUGAUGAUAGAAAAGCCUCGGAUAGUAAGCCAAAAUAAUCAUGUAGCAUCAAAUUUUUAUGCUAAAAAAAUAUCUAAUCAAUCUUUGAAUCCAAAAGUCUCCUUUACAAUACAUAUCGAAUGACUUUCUCAAUAAAUCUAGCAUCAUAGGUUAUGUUACAAUAAUUUGCAAUCUCAUUCUAAGGUUUGAUUUUAUGAUUUAUUUACUCAAUGAUUUGGCAAGAUCCUAUUACUAUAUGAAAAGCUUUCAAUUUGUUGUUUAGAAACAUUGUAAGAGAUACUAGAGAAAAAUGAUUUAAGCCUGCAUAUCUAUUAAGUCCUCACUACAAAACUCCAGUGACAAACUUAACAGCCACGAACUAAAGAGAAGCAUAACUUCAAGAACCUAUUAGGCACAACCAACAGCAGAGCAUAAAUUAUGUGGAAAAAUAAAUUAGAAGGAGAAACGCAGCCAACCAGAAAUAAAAUUUACUUACAAAUCAUCUAAUACAAAGUUCUUCCAUCGUGUCUCGAUCAUCAGGAUUUGAAAGAACAGUUAAAAGUUGGAAGCUAUAUUUUUUUCGUGUGUUUAGUAGCAUCUGCAAUGCAAUGGUCUUAAAUGUACCAUGAAUCAUGCAAUGGUAGUGAAUCUGACUCGAGAUUAGAAGGUUGCAUGUUCGAUUCAUGUCGGGUUCAAAUCCCGUAAUCUUCUAUUUUGUUUUUGUUUUCCGGUUUAAAAUAUUUUCUCAUCAUAAUUUCUAACUUUCCGUUUUACAUGUGACAGAAGAAUGAAUUUGUUUUCUCAACUUUCAGUGAGUGUUUUCUCAACUUCCAGUGAGACAGAGUAAUCAAUGCAUCUAUAACACAAUAAUCUCCUGUUGACACUGCUACCUUCCAAAGUCUCAUCAACAUCCUAUAGCAACAUCCUAACCAGAUUAUACAACUGUCUUUGAGUUCCGUAUAGAAAUAGUAGUGCUCAACCUUUUAACUUCAACAUUACAUCGGUUUCUUAGUUGAUCAUCCGCAAUCCAAGUUCUGUAAAUAAUAUAUGAACACUACACCAUGAAUUCAGCUCUUAGUCUUUGAAUUAUAAAUAAAUCUCUAACAUUCUUUUAUCUAUUUGAUUCCAAUACGAUAAACAGACUAGCAUUGUUGGCUAUGGAGCUUCAACAGAUAUCUAUAGAUCAUCUCCACCAGCAGCUAACCUUUAGAAUUUGAGCGGUUAAGCUAUUCAUAAAAUUGCUCCAGAUGGAUGCUGGUAGCCAUCUUGUCAAUGCUCAUUCCCUUGGCUAGCUGACUUGGUCGUCGGUAUUUGAACAUCAAGUUGUCAUGAUGCCUCCUCCAAAGAUUUCUAAGCUGAUUCAUGAGGGAGGACGAGUUGCCCAUAGGGAACUAAGCGUGCGAAGGCAUUGGAAGUAGUCACCCAAGGCAAGCAACCCUCGUGCUGAUUGGCGAGUUGUGAGGAUGUUGUACAUUUGCUGCAAAGCCUGUUGUCGAAGGUGAUCCGCCUGUUUCAAAAAUUAAGUCAAGGAUGAUUUCACAAUUAGACGAAUAUGCAAUAGCAAAUUCGAAGCAAGAUAGAGUAAAUUGUCAUAUACUAAUUUUUGUUGGUGUAAAUGAACAUUUGAUAAAAGUAUUAUUAUGAAAGGAAUAAUGAGAGACCUACUGUUGACAUUAGAAUUAAUACUAUAUUUAUUAUUUGCAUUAUGCAUAACUGCUGAUGAUAUGCAUCACAUGUCCUAUCAAGAGAGUGAAAUGUAAAAGAAGUCUGUGACUUUAUAUAUACCAAGUAAUGCAAACUCAAGUAGAAAAUGAUAGUUAACUUACGGAUGCAUCCCAACACGAGUAGUCUUUCAUAACCAAUUUUAAGUAUCUUAAUUAGAUGAUAACUUUAUCAACCAUAUAGAAAGAUAUAGGAUCAAGACGAUAUUUAUCGAGGCCUAACGAAGAAGGAAAAAAGACAGAAAUAGUUGAUGAUGAUGCAACUUAAGAGGUCCUUCCCAUGAUCAAACACAUAAGUGCAGAGUGCUCGAGAAACAGUUUAAUAAGACAAUUAUUCAAAGUACUAUAGGUUGUUGCUUAUGGUUUCCAAAGACCUUCCUAAUUGGAAGUUUCAUGCUAAAAGGGCCUCGAAGAAAGAGACCUUCUUUGAUGAACUCGAGAUCCUCUCAGGGUGAAAUCUUGUGUUAGCCAUUUAUUUCCUUUUAUUUUAGUUUUGAAAUAAAUAAUCAUGUCAUGAAACAAAUAAAUCGUAUCUAUCCAUCAUGAUAAACAGAAGAGAAGUAGCUAUCAGUGACUUAUGGAAGAGACCUGUCAGUGAAUUAUUUACUAAAAAGAAAUAUGUUGUCGUAGAGUUUUUAUGAUUCUGAAUAACUUAAAUACAUAAACCUUGAUAUUUUCUAAUUUUUCAACCAUUGGAAGAGUAAUAUCUGAUGUAUAGCAUUAUCAUCCAUUCAACUAGGUCUAUUAUUGUAUAACAGGGAACUUGUUGAAAAAUAAAUGAGGAUAUAAACAACAAACUUUCUAGAACUUGUUUGGUUUAAAAACUAGUGCAGAAAAAUGUGAGCUCCAUUUGUUUUCAUUUUGUUGGUCAAAAUCUUCCGAAUAGAUAUCUUUUAUGUUCUUUCAGAAUUCCUGAAAAGAAUUUUACAAACUUCAGCAUCAUUACUAACUUAUAAUCACUAGUUGCCCUACAAUCAUCCAACAAUUGAGUCCUUCCUCUUAGAAUCUUUCAUUAAGUUGAAAUUUUGACAACUAAACAUAUAAAAAAAUAAUGAUACUAUUUCUUAUUUUGAAGACAACAAAAUGGUAAUACAACAUUACCAGAAAAAAAAAACUUCAUAACAUAAACCAAGUUGUACCAAGCAAAAAUUUCAUAUACUAUUCUCUUGAGAAACUAAAAAUUAGUAGUCAAUAUUUAUAUGUUUUUCAAAAUAAGGAAUAGAUAUCUUUUAUGUCCUUCCGGAACUUCUGAAAAGAAUUCUACACUCCCCACAACCAUCCAACAACCUUCUCUAUAUUCAUUCUUCUGAGUCCUUCCUCUUAGAAUCUUUCAUUAAGUUCAAAUUUUUGACAACUAAACAUAUUAUUAGAAAAAUAUAAUGAUACCGUUCCUUAUUUGAAGACACCAAAAUGGUAAUACAACAUUAUAGGAAAAAAAGAAGCUUCAUAACACAAACCAAGUUGUGCCAAGCAAAAAUUACAUAUACUAUCCUCUUGAGAAACCAAGAAUUAGUAGUCAAUGUUUAUCUUUUAUGUCCUUUUAGAACUUUUGAAAAGAAUUUUAUACUCUUUAGCAUCAUUAUCAACUUAUAAUCACUAGGUACGGGUGGUACGUAUUGAUCCACCAGCAUAUUAGUAUGCGGACCGCCCACUACCUAGCGGUAUCGUUGAUUGGGGCUGUUUCCGUCUCUUUAUAUCCUAAAACAGGUUGGUAUCAGUUGAUUUUGACUGUCACCGCCUGCUAUUAGGCGGUAUUAGCCUGGCUAUAGCGAGAGAGAAGAAAAAAGAAAGAGAAAAAGGGAGAAGAAGAGAGAGAACCUUACGUCCCGAUUUGGUGUUGCCCUCCCUCGAUGAUUCCGAUUCGUCGCCACCCUCCCUCACCGAACGUCGUAGAUGAGGACGUCCUCUUCUCCUCAUCACCUCAAAUGAGAAGACGUUGUGGCCUUCUCCUCGUCUAAGGCGACGAGGAGAAGAGGGGGGUGACAUCACCUCUUUUUAAUUUUUUUAUAUUAUAUGUAUAUAUAUAUAUAUAUGUGUAUACACACACACACACACACACAUAUAUAUAUAUAUAUAUAUAUAUAUAUAUAUAUAUAUAUAUAUAUAUAUAUAUAUAUAUAUUAUUCAAUAUGCCCUGUAUCACUCAGUACAUCUAUAUCGUACCAUAUCAAACAAAGCUCGAUACGUUAAUACGAUAUGAAAUUACGAACCCUACUUCUCUAUCGACUCUUUUAAGUUCUUCCUCUUGAAAUCUUUCAUUAAGUUCAAAUUUUGGCAACUAAACAUAUUACUAAAAAUAAUAAUAAUAAUAAUACUGUUCCAUAUUUUUAAGACACUAAAAUGGUAAUACAACAUUACAUAAAAAAAAAGAAGCUUCAUAACACAAAACCAAGUUGUACCAAGCAAAAAUUACAGAUAUUAUCCUGUUGAGAAACUAAGAAUUAGUAUUUAAUGUUUAUAUGUUAAACUUUCUAACGAGUCCUAGUUCUUGCAAGUCCAGGUUCCAAAUAGCUGUACCACUACCAACAUCUUAUCCCACUGGUAUAACAUGGAACAUCUAGGUACACCAAUAAUGGAUAUCAAAAUUAAUAUGUAAAUAUGGACUGGUACAAUUACUAUGCUGGUAUAUUGUAUACCAUUAAACCAAUUUUGUACAACACCAAAAUUGUGGUGUUUCAACAAUGUUACCAAUUAGAAAUUGACUCUUUGAAAAUGUACAAUUACUAUAACCAGUGCCUAAUGGUUUCCCAUUUUCCAGUGAAUCACUAAGCAUAUUGCUUUGAGAUCUUAAAGAAGCAAGAGACAUACCUAACAUAUGGAUUUUAGUGAAUGAGUUCACAAUUAAAAAGCAUCCAGAUAGAGAAGGCUAAAGCAGAAACUAAGUGUAGAUAUAUGCCAUAGAUGCAUUCAUACUAUUACCUACCUGGUAAUCGUUCUCUUAAUAUAAUUAAACUGUUAUUAUCAAAAAAUUCUUAAGCACUAUACUGACACAAAUCAUAAGGAAAACAAAAUAAUAAGGAAAACACUAGAACAGUACCAGAAACAGAGGCAACAGCAGAAAAGGAAAAAAAAUAUACAGGAUAAACUGAUUGUGUCGACAGAACUUGUAUGUCACCUGGUUGACAAAGCUUACAAGAGCUUCCAACUUUGUCAUGGCAAUUGCCAUUUGUCCCAUGUAGUUUUUCGCACCAAAUGUGCCAAAGGGGUCACAUGCUAGAGUUUCAGACAGAGUUUGCUGAAGUUUAUCCAAUCCUUGGGAAAGUGCAUCUUCAGCCUGUUGUGAACAUUGUUGCAGGCCAGUGACAGCCCUCAUUUGUUGCUCUGUCAAAGGGUUUAGCUGUGAGGAGAGCACCUGUGAACCAACAAUGAGAAAUAUAAGUAAUAUUAGAAGUACCUUUUAUUCAUAUCUUACUCCAAGAAUCUGUAAGAAUAGUGAGAUGGCUUUCCAUAAAGUCAAGGAAAAGAAAAGAAAAAAAGAAACUACCACUAAGUAACAUAUGACAUUGGCAAGAAACCCCAUGCUGGCUGCGUGACAUGCUGACAUGGAAUAUGCAAACCCUCUCUACAUUGUCGUAGGCUUUCUAAAGUCCAAUGCUGUGGUAGCAUACCCUUGCAUGCCAGCAUGACAAGUGCAGGUAGCACAUUGAGCAGUGCUUGCAUGUGCAGUCUUUAUAAGAUACUAAAAUUUAUGAACAAGAUUUAAUUCACCUUUAGAUUGUCAUAGGCUUUCUAUAGUCCAAUUCUGUGUUAGCAUGCCCUUGGAAGCCAGCAUGACAUGCAGGUGGCAAAUUGAGCCGCACUUGCAUGUGCAAACUGAAAAAGAUAUUAAAAUUCAUAAAACAAGAUUUAAUCACCUUUAAAAGCUUUGAGGGCCUAAAUCCACCGAUCCAAAGAAAAAACCUUUCUGUGGGUGUUCGCCACAUGCCAGACAUGAGAUAGAAGACAUCAGACUUUGCUGUGAUUGCUUUUAUUCGGAAAAGAUUGUCAUAGUGUCUUAUUCCACUCUUUACAAGCAUGUGAAGCUCAAAGUCAGAUGCAUGUGCUUGUAGUGCAGCUCUUAGUUGACAAGUUUGCUGAUUCUGUUUUUCAACCCAGUGUCCAUAUUGCAUUUCAAAAGCAGCAAUCCCUGAAAGAUGCCACCAACAAAGGCCUUUAGGUGCAUAAGGAGCUGACAUCUUGACCUUACAUCAAAUAAUAAUCCAUGGAAAAAAUUAAAAGAGGCAUGUAAAACCAGCUAGACCCAUUUUCCAAUUCCAAACACUUUUCCUGUGUAGGUAAAAAUUAUUGUCAUUUUUCACUCAGUUAAUAUCAGGGCAAAACAUCUGAUAUGAGAUACUACAACUGAACUUGAAAUUUCCUGCACAUAUUUGUACAUUACAGUCGACAUUUUCAGAAUGGAUUUAGAGACACAAGUCCAUGAAGGGCUAGCAGAUAGCUAAAUGUUUGGAAAGAGGGGUUGAGACAUUUACAGAGUAAAAGUGAAGCCACAAUGAUGUUACCGAACAAAAUAUAUGAUAUAGAAACUAAGAAAGAAAUGCUUCACUCAAUUCAACCUGCACGGAUGGUAGAAUGCAACACUAUUUGUAUGCAUUACGGCUUAUAGUACAAUUGCAUAAUGAGAGUUGUUCCAUCAAGCGCCAAAAGGUUUAGUGCAAUUUUAGCAGUAAAGGUCUGGCUUUAUCAAAAUAGUGCAGAAAGGAUUCUAAAACGAUUGCAAGAUAAAACAUAGCUUGUUCUUCUUUCCCAUGAUAUUUCAACAUCAACGCUGUUAACAUAUAUGCUUCAGAAAUUACAUAGAAUGAAAUGAACACUUGUACCUGAAUUAACACUUCCUGACAACCCAAGAGUUCUCUCUCCCAAACGCCCACCAAUGUAAAUACCCUACAGUUCAGCACCAGAUUUUCGGUUAGCUUAUAUAUGCACAACAACAAACUUCCUUGUUCAUCAUAAAAGGUACCAUUUAUACCUUCUGUCUAACCUGCUCAAGCUCCUGCUCUAGUUGGCACAAUUUUAAACGACUUGAUUCCAACUGUUGAACAUAAGCCUACAAAAACAAGUAGUAGACAACCAGCAUAUCAAGCAAAUUAUAUGUUAAUGGUAAUUUACCAUGGUAAGAUACUUUUUUUCUUAAACGACUUUUCCGAGCAGCCUCUCGAUUCUGUGCAAGCCGUCUUAGCACCUGCACAUAAACCCUCUAUUACACCAUCAAAUUGGCAACCCUGAAUGUAUGAACCAACAAGUGUCAACAGUUUAUAGCAUUUGAGGUACAUAUUAAAAAUAUAAUUCAUUCUCUGAUAGUCUUAAUUAAUUAUGACUUGGAACUUAGCUCAUGGAUGUUAUUGCAGUCUUGCAGUUACAGAUCAGAUAAUGAUGAACUUCUCAAACAUAAGCAUCAGUUUUGUAACAUGGGUUGAUUGAAGAACAAGUUAUGGUAUAUUCCGUACCAAGCAAUUUUCAAACAUAACUAAACCAUCAAUUUAAGUGAAUUAAAUUUAAUAUAAUAGAAAUUUUGUAAAUUCAUAUCCCUCAGCAUCCAACCCCUGUUGUGAUCUCAUAACUAGCAUCAAAGAAUCUUAACAUAUCACAAAUGGAUGAAACUCCAGAUAGAUAAAACAUUAAGAUAAUUUGUUAAAGGUCAAAAAUCUUGGUUAUUUAAACCAAACCUUUAGAUAAACUAAUUGUGAUUAGAAAACAAUAUAAGUUACCCAUUCUGGUGUUCCAGUACAGUGACUAUAUAUGUGAACAGGCAUGCUUUUGUUCUCACCAUUUAAUAAGGAACUGACAACAUAAGUUACCUCGAAAGUCAUAUAUGUUCUUUCUUUGUUGUCAUUAAGCUAUCUUCAUUCACUUCCAUACUCACAGAAUUGCCACCCAAGUUCACUUGACACUAAGCUGGGAUUAAACCCAAACAGACAUAUUCUCUGAUUAUUACCAUCAUCAGAAAUCUCUUCUUGCUUCCUAAACGUUUGCAUGAUUUCUCUCAAUUGCUUAUCAUAGAUCCUUAAACCUUUCACAUAUAUUACUAAAUAUUUUUAUUAGCAAGAAGUAGGAAGAACAUAAACAGUUUCCGGAAACAAAAACAUUUAUAUAUCACAACAGUUCAUAGAAAUUACUAAAGGAUCAUUAUGAAAUAUGAUAGGGAGUAAGUGCUGAUCUUAUUAGUCAAGAUCACAUUUUGAUUCAAUCAAUUAGAUUUAUUGUGAACAUAAUAUCUUUUUGCUGCAGACACCAUAUCAAUGAACAGAAAACCUUUCUUUCUGAAAGAAGGUUCAAUCUGGUAAAUGAUGAAUGGGGGAUUUCUAGAGUGUGGAACCAACAAAACAUGCAUAUUCACUACUAAAGGACAAAGCAAAGAGAAAACCAUCAAUAUGUUCUAUCAAAGUCGGCUAAAAGAUUUAUUCCUGCAUAUGAGAAUAUAGUGAUGAAGGUCAUAGCUGAAAUAGGAUUCAUCUUGGCCAGGAUAUCCAAGUUCAACAUUAUAUUUGAUGCCCUUCUGACUUUUCCUUCUUGAAGUACAAGCCAAUUGAACUUGGCUUUACCCUACCAGAAGCUGGUGGUUAAAUUGAACAAAAUAAUUUGAUCAAAAGAAUCUAUUUUUACACGUAUGAGUCAAUGAAGUGAGGGUUCCAUCUCCAAAUGAAUGAGCUAGCCAGGGUUGUAGAUCUCUCUUAUUCAAAUAGAAAAAUCAAAGCAGCAUGAACAAAAAGUUCCUAUGCCACAGAGAUGCGGGUAAAAAUAAGAAUUUUACAUACCUUAUCUGAAGACUUGUUUGUUUCCUGGUCAUGGUCCUUUGGUUGCGUUAGUUCCUUGUGAGGAAUAUCCUCUAGCUACAAAAUAUAUCCAGUCAGAUGUAGUACUCAGUUAGAAACAGAGUUACUAAAAAACAUAGAUAUGCUAUAUAUCUCUACCAUAUAAACAAGUCUCAUGUCUGUUUCCGCUGCUGGUGAUGUACAUAUAUUCUGACAGCUAUCAGUUUUAAUGGAGUCCUCCCACCACAUGCCAAUAUGGUGGUCUGGUUCAUAUAUGCCCAUCCUUCUCGAGGUUGUAAAUGGAAAGGUAGAGCUUCUACUGUUUAGACCGAAAGGAGAAGAUUACUUAUAUGGAAAGGCAAUGGACAAGUUAAAUAUUUUACUGAUUCAAGCAUAUUUUCCUUCAGACAAAAUGUUCAAGGUGCAAUUGCAUCAAGGAUUUAAUAGAUCUCAUAAUGGCAUGUAGUAAGGAGUCGCAAUGGACCUUGGUAACUCAGAAAGUCAAAAACACCUCAAUAUGUCAGGAUAAAAUUUUUGUCAUGAGCUUCCAAAAUAAGACUGAAGCUAUGGUUAUGUAGCGAAUAUAUCAAAGAUUUUGUUGGGUCUGGCUUAACAACUAGCUAAGUAAAACCCAAUGACCAAAUCAAUAGCUUAGGCAUCCACAUUGUUUGUGCCAUUUUCAAUGUUAUAGUCAAACUUUACCUAAUUAACAAAACUCAGUUUUGUUAUGUCAAUUAAUAAUUGCCAACAGAUAGAAAAGUCACAUUUCUACGAGCACAUAAAUAAAAUUUUGUAGGGUUAUUUACAACAAGUUGUAAAACUGCUCAUUGAGAGCUCCUGAACACAACAGAACCAUCCCUAAGUCACUUGAUUACUUUAUAUAAUGCAGCCACAUGGUUUCUUUCUACUAUCUCAGAAGACCUGUUCUGACUAUAUCAGACUUACACACAGGACCUCAUCUCUCAAAUUUGAUUUGGGUUUUACAAAUUAUUUAAUUUCAUAGAGACAAUUCCAUCAGGGAAAACCAUAAUAAUUUUCUCCCUUCCAGGUUGUACAUAACUGUAAAUGAGUCAUGACUUUCCUUCACAAGUCCUAACAAAGAUGCUGGAACAAUUUGUGUUGCGAAAAAUAUCAGAGCUGAAGGGCGUUUUAUGUACAUACUACCCAGUACCCACCAUAUUAAUAUGGAAGUACUCAAACCAUAACAACCACAAGAAGCAAGAAAACGGCCACCUAUGACAUCAAAACAUGUUCCAAUUAUGUGACAUAAAAGCAAUCAAAAGGUUUAUUCUAUUUAUAUUUACCAUCUCAUAUCAGAGAAUGAGAUACAUAUUAGUAUACUUCAAUUUUUAUUCAAAAAGUCCUCCUGAUCUAAAUUUUCUUAUUUCGUAAAUGGCAAUUUUCCAGUAAAUUUUGUUAGACAAUCUACCAAGAGUUCCUUAUUAAAAAAUUACUCCAAGAAAUCGCAGAAAAAAAUCCUCAGUCAUAAAAGAGGAACAAUCUGACCUCGAGAUCACUCCAAGAGCUGCCUCAGAGCCCCGCGAAACCGGGAUUCCACCACGGAUAGCAAAACCUUAAGCCCAAUCCCGAUCUGGGAAACCCCGGCGGCCGCCAUUCCCUCUCUCUCGCUGCGCCUUAAUCCGAGAGAGGGAGAAGGAGCGAGGAGAAACGGAGGAAGCAGAGGAAGCGAACCAAGAGACGCAAGAGCAGAUUCCCAAAGCCCACUUCCGCUCCUUUGUCGUCCACCGUCGUUUUAAUGGCGUGUCGCGGGAAAGGGAAGAAAGCUUCGCCGCGGAUAGACGUUCCGUUAUCCUGCUCCCUCCGCACUGCCCAGCACAUGCGCGCCCGUCUGACGUCAGCAACCGCUGUUUUGAACGCGCUGGUGGACUUACCCUGCGUCGGCACAGUAUAAGGUUGAGACAGCAAAUGAGCCAUCACAACAGCUGAGAGCCUUUAGUUGUGCCAAUUUAAUUGGCGGGAUUCUGAUGAAUUUUAGUGGAUGGUUUCUAUCACAGAGUAAAAUAGUGUGAUGAUUCCAAGUUCAUGGCAAUAACUUGGAACCUUUACAGCAAUCUUGCCACUUCCACAACAAUGUGUUGCAUAUUGAUUGGAGAUAAAAAGCACCACCCCAUCCCACCAUUUCUUUUCCAUCUGCCAAUGGAAUGUUGAGCUUUGUAGCAUUAUACUCAGAGAAGCUUUAGACAAGCCAUGGCUAGCGUCAUGGUAAGAUUACUCUAAUAAUCUUAAAUCGAGUUAAAAAUGAAAAAGUCUAAAUAUAUUAAUCCUUCCUAAAUGCUACAUGAACAAGUGCACUCGAUAUGUGGAGGAUUAGUAUAGUUAGUCUCCAUCCCAACUUUGGUAUUUUGGUUUCCACGAUGAUGAUCUUCUUCGUGCAAGCUUCGUUUCUCAGAAACAAACGUGUGGUGCUUAUUGCUAGUGUAGAGGGAAUGCAGUAAGUAUACUUUCGAGUUCAAUUUGCUUCUUCCUAUUCAUUGUAGAAACACAAUGGGCGUGCAUUAAACGGAGUUAUAAUUCAAGCAAUCAAAAAAAGAGAAGGGAAUUGAUAGCUUUAUCAUGCUGUUGAUAAGGCUUGGAUCAUUUCAAGUCCACUCUUAAUAGAAGUAUUUCCGUCGAUAAAACAAAGUUGAUCUUUGAAGAGUGUGUGGCAUACAUGAGUGUAAAGAUGAGAAGUUUUUGUAUAAAUCUUUUCCUUAGAAACAAAACUUAGUAAUAGAUCUGCUUUUGGUCUGCUAAUCUCUUUUUACAAGGAGCAGACUACCACUACUACUGGUGGAUAUAAGAUGUAGAUCUCAUACCAAUUUCUUCUGAUGGUACAUGCACACUUGCACAGAGUCCAACUUCACUAGAGUAAACGAAGUAAAACUCUUUAUGUUUCUAUCAGUAACUACAAGAUUCGGAUCAUGUAUUUCUUUGCUCAACCUUCCUUUUCUCCUUUCUUCCUCUUUGUUGGGAAAUGGACUUUUGACACUUGUGAUUCUUGUUGGUACUUGGUUUCCAAUAACAACUGUUUCCCCCCCUCUAACCAUAGCUUUAGAGCUUAUGAAAGAAAGCUUUUUGUUCUUCUUUCUCCUUUUUUUUCCUUUUCUGCUUGACAAGAUAUUGAUAUGUACACAAUUUAGACUACACGUACUACCUUUCUCUUUGGUUUGCAAAUAUAUGGCACCAUCGACUCGGAUUAUCACAAAAGGCAUGAGAUUUCAUAUGGAUAUUAGACAUGAUCGAAAAUAUAAUUGUAGAACUCCAUAUGUAAGAAAAGUAACAACAAGAAUCAAGAUAGAACGACGAGAACAUGGAAUUAUUACAAUAAAGAAAAAGAGUUAACCGCUUUGAUCUGCUCAGAAAUGGCGAGUCUGAUCGAGAGAGAGAGAGAGAGAGAAGGCAGUAUCAAUUGAAUUUGGAAGUUGGGAAGAGAGGUAGGUGUUAAAUGGAAGAUGGAAGUGAUAAGCUCUUCUAUGUGCACUUCCUAUUAAGAUAUAUACAUAGUGGCUAACCUUUUAAGGUAGUUGACAGCCAUUGACCCUUAGGCAUUAAGCAAUAACAGUAGCUUAAAGGAGCAUGAUGCAUCAAGGACACUCUUAAUGAGCCUAAAAGUAGAAGCAAGUUGGAAGCUUGGGGUUCAAAGCCAUACUUAGGAUUGAGCAUUGCAUGUCUACAAGUUCAGAUCUGGUUUAUGGCUAACAAAAUCCAACCAUUAAGGUGUGGAACUUUUGAUGAGUUGUAUAAGUUCACUUUUGUAAGGUAUGUAUCAGUGACAUCUUGACUAGUCUCAAUGGGGUUUACCAUAAAAAAACUCGAACAUAAAUUAUUUAUAGGGAUAUUAAUCUCAUGAAUUCAUAUAUUUCAAGAACAAAGUUACGUAGAUUUCAUUCAUCGUGAAUAAAUUCUAUAUAGCUAUAUAAAUAUGUAAUAAUGGAUUUUUUCUUUAUCUCAACUCUUCUAGUCCUUUAAAUUAACAUCCGAUAAAAUUGAAAAGAAAUUAAUAUUCUCAAAAACUAACAAAGAUAACAAAAAGAUUAAUGUUUGUGGUGGAUAGAUUGUUGACUUGUUACCGAUAGGGAAAUAGUAAGAUAAAGUUUAGGCCUAAAAUGUUUGUGCAAGAUGAGAAUUGUUACCUAUGCUUGGAAAUAAAUGGAACCCCGGACUUCAGUGGAUAUCAAGAUCUAUCGGAUUCCAUGAUGCAAACAAUUAAUGAUGAGUUCAUGAGCCGCUUCAGAAACUUUCCAUGUAGGUGACACCCCUAUGAACUGAAGCUAGAAGGAUGCCGUAUACCUUACCACUUCUUUCUUCAUUGAGACUAUAAAUGCCUUUUGUCCCAUCACCUUUGGCUUUUUCGGGUGGUGUCACUGCCACCUUCUAUCCAAACUCUUCAUCAAUUGCGUACGACGUAAGUGUGGUUUGCUGUUCUUCUGUGUCAAAAGAUCAAAAGCUUUAAAAAGCUACACAGGCUCGACUAAAGAAAGAUAAGCUCAAAGCACCGUUCUCUUAGCCAAUUAUGCAGUGUAAGCAAAUGUUAGUGCGCCCUAUGUGGGGUACUGAUUCAAUCUAAACAGCAAUGUCUGCACUGCUGUCCCUUUGCUGUGUCAAGCUUAACUACAUAACAAUGCACUUUGAUUGACUAAAUGAGUUCCUUUUUCUAUUUUCUUGACCAAGGAUACAUUUGCCAUGCUUUUCUAGCACAGAUCUAUGGGUCUUAUAUCAAAUUAGUCUGUCAAAAGAGCAAAGUCGCUUGGAAAAGGAGGUCAGCCAGGUAAAGAGGCAUCUGAGGAUAAUAUUAGAAAUGCCAAAUGACUAAGAUUCUUUGCAUGGGUGGUGCUUUCUGCUUUUUGAGAUGUUUUGGUGUAGAUCUGCAGAACGGAGAGGAACACAGAAAAAGAUCCCAGUUGUCUAAAACCAUAUCUGAACAUGUUAAAUUGAGACGCAAGAAAAUAUAUGCAACCACAAGCCCUAAUUAUACCAACUAUCAUCAGCUUAUUCCAUGUGUGAAGGAUUAAAUCUUUUCAGCAUUUCUUUCUCAUCUAACUCAUGGACUAAACUGUCUUAAAAAA